GAAAAGAUGCAAAAUUGUCAAAAUUGAGAUGGAUAUGAUGGUGAAAUAGUAAAAGGUUUGAGCACGAAUUUUGUGACGGCAGAAAACGCUGCGAAAAAAAAAUCCGAAGAGGGCCCCAAGUCCUUGCUAAAGAUUUUGCACUGUGACUUUCGCAACCUCUUCGAAAUUGAAAUUGAAAACUGGGGUUUGAUCUGGUAUCAGCCUCAGUGGAUGGGUCGUAUGAAAAGGCGUGGGGUUACAUUCUAAUAUUGAAUGCCAGCCUAGACUGCUCCCAACAUUUUAAUAGUUGCUAGUACGCUAGUUGCUAUCUGCCGUCACGAAGUUCCUGCAUUGAUCAAAGAUCUUUCUGCUGAUCCAUCUAUGUGAAUGUGAUAUGAUUGUGGCGGAUUGCCGUUAUUUGUUUCGGUCUAGAUUUGAAGUUCGGAUUUUUUGUUGUGGUUGAAAAAUUGGGAAAAAGGUUUGGGAUUUAUGAGAAAAUGCUGUAGAACCCAAUUUUUUUCUUUGAAAUUUGAUGGUAUGGGGUCAAGCCAGUGUAUGUUUGAUUUGAUUGUAUGAGCUUUAACUUGUUGGUUGUAUGAUUGAAUCUGUAGGUUGUGUUUUCUUGUUUUCAGAUUGCAGGUAACUCUAGUGUUUCCGAUGGCAGUGUUGAUAUUGUGCAUUUAAAACAAAUCCUUUGUGUGUAUAAUCUUAUUGUAAGUGAAUGGUGCAUGGUUUUUAUGUGAUGGGUUGCCAAGUUUGUGCGGUUUUGGUCGUCUGGAUGCCCGCAUUUCCUUUCUAUGAGAGGUUUUAUGAUGUUUGGCAUUAAAUUUUGCCUCGAGUUGAUGAUUAUCUUGUUUUCAUCUUGGUCAAUUAGGGUAUCCCCUUGUUGAUGUGUUUAGCUAUUUAUUUUUCAUAUGCAUAGCUGCGCGUUCUCUACUGGUAGCAAGAGUCCAUUUAAUCACGUUAAUUUCCUUGUCUUCCAUUUUGAUUGUUGAAGAGUCUCUCUGCUGGAGUGUCUGUUUCUAGAGCUACCAAGAUUCUAUUGUCUCCUCCCCCACAGUUAAUCGCCUCUUUUUUCACCUUGAAGCCAUUGGCGACAUUCAGAUUUGAUUCCCAUAUCAAUUGUGCGCAAACACGUCACAUGAAAGUAUAGGCAUUACUGUUUGGUUCAACAUGGCCUUUACAUCGUGUUCUAAAGGUUGAUGUGAUUACUUGUUCAUUUGAGUGUUUGACCAUGUAUUUCGAGUUAACUCUGUGAAAAGUAUUGCGUGUUGUGCCUUGUUUAGGAGGCGGUCUAGCUGGGAUCAACCCGUACAUCUUCUGAAUCAGUUUAUGACUCAGGUAUUCAAGUUCUGGACAAGAAGAGAACACAAUAGUGUGAAAUGAAAUUUGAGCAAUGUCAGCCCUGGCAGCAUCCUUCGACAUGCUCUGAAUUGUGUAAAAUAGUAGAGAAAUGUCAGUUUUCCUGGGCUGCAGACGUUUGUACCUAGAGUGAUAUGUAGUGCUUAUUUAAGAAAAAAAGAGGCCACUGUUGUUUUUGAUAUCUGAAAUAUUCAAGAUAAUGACACUGCAUUUGCUUGUUCGUUUCUGAAGAUGACAAUGUAUCAGCGGGCGCGACCCACCCACACUAUCUCUCAUACAAAAAAUAAACGGAUGAGAUUGAAAAUAUAAGAUCUAACAUUUCUAGAAAUUAAAUCUAAUGGCUAAAACACGAGUCACUGAGUGCUACAUUGCAUUGAAGUUGGACUCCAAAUGUAGUAUAUCUAUCAUUUAUGAGUUUCAAAUGCGUAGGUUUCGAGCAAGUGAUUUGAAAAAAGAAAGGGUUUCCUAUGAGAAUUAUUAUCGGUACAAAAUUUUAUUGGACACUUCUGGUAAGUGUAUUUAUUUUCUUCUUUUACAUGUGGUAAGUUUAAAAUGCACAAUUAUACUUUUAGAGUGUCAAUAACAGUUAUCGUUCUGGUCUAGGAGUAUUUCUCUUCAUCUAGAAGUGAGAGGUCUUAGGUUCAAAUCUAGUGGAUGGCGAAUUCAAUACUAAAUUAGGUUGCUUAUUGUGUAGUUUAACCGAACUUUCUCUUCUCUUAGUGUAAAAAUAUAUCGAUGUAUUAAAAAAACAGUUACUGUUCUUAUUUGGGCCGUGUUUAUCAUGCCAAUUUUAACCUAUGCAUUCAUUUGAAUGAAAUUGAUUAAAUUAAUUUAAUUAGUUGAUUGUUUAUUUCAAGUAUAUAUUUUUAAUAAUUAAAAAAUAUUAAAAAAUUCAGAAAAAAAAAGAAGAAACUUUUCCACCUUAAAUAAAAAUGAGUGUUGAAUUAAUAGAGCUUCUAAAAUGGAAAAGUGACGCCGACCAUAUACGAGGGAUACACACUCACAAAAAGUUCACCAAAGAAUGAGUAUAUAGUUCCAAUCAGGAUCAUGAAUCAUCACUCCCACCUCUUUUGCUUUCAUGACUUUCUAGUUUGCUUGGAAAUAACUCACGUGUUAUAAUAUAAAUGAACGAUAAAUAGAGAGUAUAAUUUAAGACCAAAAGUCAUAAAUGGUUGCUUAUAAAGGCUUCCAUUUCGUCACAUUUAUCAUUGUGAUUUACUUCUUAUACCAAUUCGGUCUAUCGAUUGUUCAAUUUUCUUCAACUUGUCUAACUUGAUCCCCGCUUCACGUUUAGGGGUAUUAUAAUCUUAUCGUAUUCAAUUUCACUUAAUAGUUGGAAGAUGCAAGCUCAAGUUUUAGAACACGAUCUUUUGGGUAAGAUUAGGCACUUGCAACCAAGUUUUUUUCGAGUUUGUUUGGAGUGAAAUUCGCGUUCACUCCAAUUGGUCAAGUGAGAUUGUACACAACAAAAUGAUUAUACAUGGGCAAAACUUGUAUGCCAAGUUAAAUUAAUGUUACGAGUAAUGGCAUGUUUGGUUGCUUCUAUAAAAACACUUACCUUCAUAACCAUUUUUUUUCAGGAAGCACUUGAAUUUCUAAAUUCUAAGUUUUUAUACCGAACGCAGACAAAAAACAUUUUUAGACCUUCCAACAGUAAUCUCAAACAAUUCCUAUCGUGACAAUUUAAAUAAAGCACAUGUUAUAAUAUGAAUAGGUUUCAAGAUCGAGUUAAUAUUGAAAAUUUUUCAUUUGUUUGGCAUUCGAAAAAUCAAAAUAUUACAUAUAGGUGAAUCCGUGACAACACAUUUUUUAUCAAUCUCGUUUUCGGAUACUAUCGUCCAAUGAUGUGCGUAUUUUGGUGUGUGAAACACUAAGUAAUAAAGAAAUGGUUGACAAAAUCUUCUCAUAAAGAAGUUAUAAUUUAACUUAAGACGUGUUCUAUUUUUCUAAUUUUUCAAAAAAGUACAGAAAACAAAUCAAAUGACCGCCCCACUCAAAUUGUUUAGGUGGCCACUAGUUGACCUAACCAUAUAAUUUGGGUUUUAGUGUUGCAAACUGCAUCAUCUUUUCCACUGGGUUUCAAUAAUUUUCAAAUUAAAUAAAUAAAUAACGUACAAGGAAAUUCCAUAUCAUAUAUACAUAUAUAUAUAUAUAUAUAUAUAUAUAUAUAUAUAUAUAUAUAUAUAUAUAUAUAUCAGCCCCUUAACAGAAGGGAAUGGAAAUUAGUUGUGUGGUCCACACCAUAUUGAACUUCAAUGAUCUGAAUCGUCUAUUUUAUAAGUCUCGAUUUAUAGAUCGUUCUUACAAAAAUUUGAUUCAAUCCGAAACUAUUUGUCUAUUUAAUUGUUAUGAUGAUUUAACGUUUCUUAGAAAAAAGUGUUCGUCAAUUUCAUUUAACUCAAGUAGAUGUCUCAAAUAUUUCCGAUUUGGCUAAUAUUUUGCAAGGAUGAUAUGUGAGGUGCAACUUGGAAAAAUAGACAGUUUGAAUCGUUGAAGUUCGAUGUGGUGUGCGUUGCAGCACCAAUCCCUAAUUUUUUUUAAAUGAAAAUUCAUUUCCUUAAAGAUUAUAUAUAUAUAUAUAUAUAAAUAUAUAUUUCGCAUUUUAUGUUCUGUUUGUAUAAUAUAAUAGAGAUAAUUCUUCUUCACUUGUAAGUGAGAUAUUUUAGGUUUAAUUCUCGUUAAAUGCGAAUUUGAACAAAAUUACUGCUAACUCAUUGUGAGACUAAACCUACUUCCUCACAUUUAGUAUAUAUAAUAUCGUUUGUUAAAAAUAAAAGGGAUCAAUGUCGUGGGAGAAGAGCAAGCAACUAAAAAAGUUUGAGAUGAAAAUAGUUUUAUACUCUUCAUUAUAUUAAUUUGUUAUUAAAUUAUCAUUUGAAAAAUAAUAUCUUAAGACGUAAGUGGUACUGAAAAAUGUUAGGCUUAUGCCAUUUAUGGUACAAUAGCUACGUCAUCGUCGACAACCGUAUGAGUAAGUGAUUUUUAAUUUAUGUUCAUUCGAUUAAAUAAAUCAAAAGAGAACAAAAAUAAAAAAAAUAAAAAAUAAAAAGUUUACAAAAGAGAAAAAGAAGCAUGCAAAAAUCACUAUAACUAUUUCUCUUGAAUAAUUAUAGUAUGGAUUGCAUAUUUCACUCUGUCUACUUCGGAUUGUUUUGAGCAAUCUAAGGUAAACACGAAUUUAUUCAAGCACCCUAGCUUGUUGAGAAUUUUUGUUAAUUAAACGGAUUUGACUAUACGUCUUUUUAUUGUAUCUUGCUUGAUGAUUAUUAAUAAAGUUUUUUCCCUCGUGCCAUGGAGGUUCUCUAAAAUCAAUUAUAAGUAUAUAUAGACUGAACAAAUUAGCUUGUCAAGAAAGAAAUACUAUACUAAUCUUUGUUAAACAUUGUUAAGAAAAAGAGGUCCAAAUCUUGUGGAAAAUGAUUAGUAGGUAUAACGAAAGUACACCAGGUGGUUCGUUUACAAAUUUUUUGGUAACAAAAAAUAAUGCUGGAAAAUCAUGAACCAUGCAAACAAUGAAGAUAAUUAGGCCAUCUUCAAUUGAAAGAGCUAAAUAUAGGCACAUUCUUUUUCGUUGAUUUGAGAAUGUAUUUAUGUCAAGUUUAAUCGAAUAAAUUUAUUAAUGUUAUUAAGUCUAAUAUCUUUUUUUUUUGUGGCUUUGAAGAAUGUUUUGGACAAUAAUUUUUUGUUAAUUUUGAUAAAUGUACCCAUGUUUAUAUAUAUAUAUAUAUAUAUAUAUAUAUAUAUAUAUAUAUAGACACACACAAAAAAUAUAUUGGAGAGUAAUAAUUUAAAUUUUAAUAUUUUUAAUCUCACAAAUUAUGGGUUUUAUUUAAAUCUCUUUAAUAUAAGCAACUACAUAUUUUAAUUUUUAAUUCAAAAAAAAAUAUAGUAACUUACAUAGAAAUACCAAGGUUCUAAAAAACGCUAAGUGAGGCCUAGGUGGACGCCUAUGCGGAUUUAAGUAAAUCAUAUAAAUAAGUGCCUAUUUAUACUUAAAUAGUACAUAAUUGUAUUAAGAAUCUGAGAUACAUAAAUUACAAAAUAAAAUGACAUAUAGAUUAAUUAAUUUAUAUAUAUAUAUAUAUAUAUUAUUGUUGACCCUAGAAACUACAAAGCCUACGUGGCGCGCAGGCCGAGUAAUUAAUGAGCUAACUACGUCCUUCGGUGAAUGCGGGGCGUGCCAACUCGUCGGCCGAGCUCGGCCGAGGAGUAAAUUUGUUGAUGUUGCGUUGGGUCGCGCUACUGACUUCUGCGUCUUGCGAUUGCGGCCGAGAAAGGAACACGUCUCGGCCUCUUGGGCUCUCGAACCUGAAGACAAGGUUACUAUUCUUACGAAGUUCAAUAUCAAAUUCGGCUUUCAAUGUGCCGAAUGUAAUAACUGUAACACCUCACUUCGCCGAGAAGGCUGAUGAGAUGACCUCGACCAAUAAGGAUUUAGAAAUCCUCCUCGACCGAGGCUUGGAUAGGUAAUCAAUCGUUCUCGCCGCAAUGCUGUUGAUGCCAACGGAAGGUACUGCGAGACCGACUGACUCUACGGUGAUAGAGCUAUUUAUGCCGACUUAAGAUAUCACCGGUUGCUUCCACAGUGCUGUUGAUGCCAACGGAAGAUGUGUCAGCGAAAAAGGAAAAAGAAAAAUCACAAGUUGUGAGAAUUUGCGCAGGGCAGUUUUGUAUUGAUUUGCAGGGGGCUUGUUAUGUUGCUAAAUGUCUUGUAUUUAUAGUAGCAGCACAUCGAGCCCGAGUUCCAAUCCUAUUCGGACUAGGUUUCCUUCUCCGGAUUAACAUCCCCUCGAUCAGUCCUAUCUCCGCUAGGACUACGAAUCUAGUCCUUAACUGAGCCGGAUUCGCUUUCUAGAUUAUUGAUCUCGUCGAGAGUCACUAUUGUACUAAGACUCGACUUGCGUUCUGAUUUAACCGACUUAGGCUUGGAAGCCCAUGAGCUGAACGCUCCAUGACCCUUUCGUCGCCCGGCUUCUCGGGCCGAGAGUGAUUCUACCCUCGGCCCAAACUAUUAUUUUGGGCCCAAACAAUUAUAAAAUAGGAGUAAAUAUGUAAAAUUUUAGGGUUCCUUAUCUUGGUUUUCUAACAUUUUUUCCCAAGUCUAUAUAUAUAUAUAUAUUUUUUUUUUUUUUUAAUUUAUUAUUAUUAUUUUUUUUUUUUUUAGGUGACAAGUCAAUAUGUUUUGAUCAUUGUUGGUCCUUAUUUUUCAUUCGAAAAAGGAUUAGGCUUUGUUUUCACAUUAAAUAAUGACAUAAUUAAUUCUCUAAUUCUAAAAGAAAUAUCAGUCACUUAAAACCCCUAACUCUAACCCUAGCAAACAAAUAACCUCACCGUCUCAUUCUUCUUAUUUGCAAAUUGAAAUUUUAUAGAGCUCUGUGCUGUCUCAUUAUUCUUCUAUGCAAAUUGCAAUUUUACGGAGCGAUCUCUAUCUCUCUUCAAAUUUUCUAUGCCGACUCAUCUUAUAGGCAAGCAGAGAAGGGACAGGACGCAUCGACGCGACAAAAACGCAACGAGAUGGUGGAGAUGCACUACUUUUUCAGUGACAACUUUUAAAAAAAAAAUUACAUAACCACCAGAGGCCACCAACGCCUAUUAGCCCUCCCAGGCAACCGUCUAGGUGUUGCCUAAUAGUCUAGCCAACUGAUUGAACGAUUUUGGUACAAUUACAGCAGUGGGCUAUUGUUGAGCACCUACGUCGAUUUUUAGAACAUUAAGAAAUACAUUAUUACAUUAAUGUUAGGGAUUUCGAUGAAAAACUGAAAACCAACAAGAUUUUAGUUAAAUAAUAUUGAUAGCUAGGGACCGUAUCCAAAGUCUCCCAAAAUUAACCAUGGUUAAAUAAAAGGACACUUGACAUAUGAUUAGGUGUAUGGUAAGCAUGCAUCAAAGUUUAGGGUUGUGAGCAAAAGUACUCCCUUGCUAUUUUUACCGUCUAUUUGUACCAUCUCUCUAAUAGAGAUGAGACCCACAUAUGUUGGUGGACCCUCCUCUAUCAGAGAGGUGACACUAAGGAUGGGCAAUGGUUAUGCGGGCGGGUAACCGCGGUUAAUUUACCCAUAACCGUUUAUGCUCAUACCCGCAUAACCGUUUACCCGUUGGGUAAUUGCCUAAACGGUUAUACCCAUACCCAUAACCAUUUAUAAACGGUUAACCAUACCCAUAACCGCAUACCCAUUUAACCGUAACCGUUUAAUACCCGUUUACCCAUUUAUCAUUUUUAACCCGUUUAUCUUUUUUUUUUUACCAUUACCCUUUUUUCACCUGUCUACAUGUUUUUUAACAACUUGAAAAUUAAAAAAAAAUUGUCAAAAUUUUUUUUUUUUUGACAAUUAAACACCGUUAUAGGUACAUUCAUCAUACAUUUCUAUAUUUUAAUUUUUUAAGUUCUUAUACCAUUCUAAUAAUUGAAAUAAUAGUUUACGGACAAUAUUUUUAACUGUUACCAAUGAAGGUAAAUAUAAUAUUUGCUAAGUAUUAUUAGGUUACAAAAAUUGUUUAGAAGAUAUUUCUGUCAAAACAUUUCUAUCAAUUUCACGGUUACCCACAAAGAAUUUAAAUUAAUUUGGCCAAUUCCUUGAUGAUGAGAAUCAUCAUUCCUGUAGUAGUGUUAUUGAGAGAAUGACCGAUGAAUUCUUUGCUAAUUUAUUGGGUGCUAAAUAUUAUUGGAUUGAGAACAUGGUUUGUGUUAAUUUUACAUAUAUAAAAUAAAUGGGUAAACGGUUAUCCAUUUAUAACCGUGGUUAAUACCCAUAACCGCCCAUUUAAAUUUCGCAGGUAAACGGUUAUACCCAUAAUUGUUUAUUUAUCUAAACGGUUACCCAUAACCGUAACCGUUUAAUUUAAAUGGACGGGUAACCGUGGUUACCCAUAACCAAUAGGUAUUUGCCCAUCCCUAGGUGACACAAAUAAUAGUACAAAUAUGUGACAAGGGUAACAUUACUCAUAAUACAAUACCUUAAAAUGCUAGGAACCGUAUCCAAAGUCUCCCAAAAUUAACCAUGGUUAAAUAAAAGGACACUUGACAUAUGAUUAGGUGUAUAGUAAGCAUACAUCAAAGUUUAGGGUUGUGAGCAAAAGUACUCCCUUGCUAUUUUUACCAUCUAUUUGUACCAUCUCUCUAAUAGAGAUGAGACCCAGAUAUGUUGGUGGACCCUCCUCUAUCAGAGCAAGUCCACCCCUAGGGACUUUGCGCCAGCACCCAGCGCAUUUAUCCACUUAAGUGAACAGUAAUAGGCCAAGGCAUCUCCACCCCUAAAAAAAUGCGCUGGCACCCAGCACAUUUAUUUGGUGUGUUUUUUUUUUUUAAGUUUAUUUCGGAUAAGAUUUUUAACCAAUUUCAGAUAAAAUUUCAAAUAAACUUAAAAAAAAUACACACUAAAAUAAAAUUACAUACCCAUCAAAUAAACUUAAAAAAAACACACUAAAAUAAAAUUACAUAAACUCAUCAAAUAAACUAUAAAAAAAAACACACUAAUAUGAAAUUACAUAAACUCAUCAAAUACACUUUAUUCUUCAACCACAAGCUUUUUGGUAUUUUUUUUCACACAAAAAGUAUAUGAAAGCUUUGGUAGAAAGUGUAGAAAAUAUUGAAAUGUGGUGUAAGGUGGAAGAUGAGAGUUAGGUAUUUAUAGAAAAAUAAAUAAAUUUUUUUUAAAAUUUUCUGUAUUUUUUAAUAUUUUUUAAUUUAGUUAAUUAACGUGGACCGUUGAUCUGUGAUCGGACGGUCUAUUUUAAAAGUAAAAUUUUAAUUUUUUUUACCGUUCGAAAUCCAACGGCUAUGAGCAUGCCACGUCGUUGAUGGGAUUCGGAGCACAAGUGGGCUGACAGCCCCUCUGCAGCCUGUCGGCUACUCGCGCCCAGGCGCGCUUGUCGUGCAUGCGCCAGCCAAAUAGGCCGGCUUCUUGGUCUGUCAAAAUUGGGCUGGCCUGUUGCCUGGCAUGGGCUGGGUGCCAGGCAACUUUGUGGGCUGGAGCAAAUUCACUGAGGGCUGGCUUGUUUUUUGGACUGAGGGCUAGGACAUUUUGUUCCCGGUGGACUUGCUCUCAGAGAGGUGACACAAAUAAUAGUACAAAUAUAUGACAAGGGUAACAUUACUCAUAAUACAAUACCUUAAAAUGCACAUGACAUGUGCCACUUAGUACUACGUUCUAGUGGUAUUCCUCUUCACUUGUAAGUGAAAGGUCUUAGGUUCAAUUCUCGCUAGAGACAAAUUUGAACCAUAUUAUUACUAGCAUAUUAUCAGGCUUAACCCACUUCCACAGACCCAAUGAGAUUUCAUUAGUCUUUCCGGCCAACUGAAAUCAACUCAACUCCCCCCAAUUAAUUAUUAUUAACAACCAUCAAUACAAACCCAAACACAAUACAAUCGAACUGACUUAAUUUAAUUCAAUACGGGGACUUAAUUGUGAAUUUUUUUAGUGUAGCUAUCACAUUAUACGUAAUGUUAUCACUCUACUAAUGUUAUGAUAUGUGUGUUUAAUUAUUAUAUUAUAACCAAUUAGUAUUAUGAUUUAGUGGUAUUCCUCUUUGCUAGUAAGUCGGAGAUCUCAGGUUCGAUUCUUUGCCAAAGGCAAAUUUGAACCACAUUAUUACUAGCCCAUUGUGAGGCCUAACCCACUCCCCACCCUCUUAGUAUAGAUAUAUCAUUCGUUAAAAAAAAUUAUAUUAUAGCCUAACUCCCUAAAAUAUUGGCCGUGUUGUUCAAUAAUUUUACAUACCAUGUCAAUUAACAACACUAUGUGACAGUGCAAUUGUAAUACUCAAAGAAAAUAAAAUUUCAAAUUUGAGGAUCCAAACAAUUUGAAGGUCUAGUCCAAGUUAGAGCAUCCCUAAUUGAGCUUUAUCCUCCUUGAGGCUACCAUAUUUGUAGCUCUAAUGAAAAUUUUCAUCUCCAAUGGGCUGGAAAAUGAAGCUACAUCUACCACCUGGGCUAGCAACUUCAAUCAUUGGGUAACAAAGAGUUAGGCUACAUCUAGCCUAAAAAACGUAAGGGAAACCCACACCAGAUUGAGGGCCCAAUCUUCUCUUUUUUUUUUAAUUUUUUUUUAAGAAAUGGGUGAGCCCCAUUUUUAAUUCCAAAACAUGAUUUUAAGGGUUUAUUUUCCAACCGUUUAGGAUUUUAAAGAUUUUUUUUAACCGUUUGUUUGAUUAAGAAAACAUAUACAAACAACGAUUAUUUUUUGUGUGAUUGAUUAGAAAAAAAUGUUGUACUUUGUGUUUAAUUUUCAAAAAUUGAAAAAUUCAUAAAAAAAUGAUGAAAUUUAAUUGGUAGUAUUUAGAGACCUAAACCAAAAAUAUAAACAAAUAACAUAACUAAAUUGUGCUAAGAUAAUCCAAUCCAAUGGUUGUUAUGAAAUGAAAAUCUUGUUUGAUUUUGGAGAAUGUGUCAAUCUGAGAGAAAAACCAACGGAUGAGAUUGAGAUAAGAUAAACACAUCCAAUGGUUGUUAUGAAAUGAAAUCCUAUCUUGUCUGAUUUCAUAGAAACAAACCAAUGAAUGAGAUUGAGAUAAGAGAGCCUCCAACAAUGCAUAAAUGAUAAAAUCUAACUUUGUCAGAAUUUGAAUAUUUUAAGGUUAAAAAUUUCAUAAAUUAAAAUUUAAGAUAACACUCCAAAAAUCAAGUUAAGAAAAGUUAAGACAAAAAUAAAUUUACUGCGCAAUCAAAUUACUACAAAAUAAAAUAUAUAACCUCAUAUAAAGCCCGAAAGAUAUAAAGCCCCUUAUGAGAGAAAUUCUUUUUUUUAGAGCCCAAAAGAUUCCUCGGAGGUCUAAAUUGGGAUAUAUCCAUCGCUUUCUAGCCCCAUAUAUAGCCCUUCAUUGGGAUGCUCUUACAAACCAAAACAUGAUUAUCAGGGAUCGCGUUGCUCAAUCAUUUUAUAUACCAUGUCAAUUAACAACACUAUAUGACGGUGCAACUGUAAUACCCAAAGAAAAUAAAAUUUCAAAUUUGAGGAUCCAAACAAUUUGAAGGUCUAGUCCAAGUUACAAACCAAAACAUGAUUCUCAAGGACAAUAGUGGUGGAGUGGAGUGGUGGCUUACCAAUGUUUAAGAUACGGUUGAUAUUUCCAUAGAAAUAUCCAAAAAAAUUAGGGAGAGAUAUGGAAAUGGGUGAUGAAGUCUAAACUUCACCUCAUAUCGAAGAAAUUCUUAAGUUUAUACUAAAAUCGAGAUAUAUCGUCGAUAUUUUUAACACAUUUGUUAAAUAUUGGAGAAACUCUUAUAUUUCAUACAAACCAAUGUUUGAUAGUCCCUAAAUUUUCAUAUUAAAUUUCCAUCAUUUCCAUCGAAAGUAACAGAUGUCGAUAUCAAUAUUUUCACAAAUUUGCAUAUCGAUAUUUCCAUUUAUACUGAUAUUUUAAACAUUAUGGCUUAUCCAUCCGCAUGGUAUAUGAAUUAUGGAAAACUCAUAUGACACCGAUGCUGAGAAACCUUACCAUUUGAAAUCCAAUCAAAGGAUUACUGAAAAUGUAGAAACAUUAUAUGGACCUAAAACUAGUACUGUUUGGUCACCAUGCAAGAUCAAAUUACUGUGUUGCUCAUGCAUGAAUUUAUAGGCUAUCACCAACAAAAUGCCGAGACAUUCAUUCAUAUAUGUCUGGUUGUAUUGUAUGUGAACUAUUUUGGCACUUUUUCUUUAACCUAGAGACGUAUACAUGAUUGAUCCUUUUUUUUUUUUUUUAUAAUAUAAUUUCAUUACUUUUUUGGCUCCACUUUUUCGGGGUCUAGAAUACUCACAGAGGCAUUUCAGCUUCUCCUGUCCAUUAUUGUGUGAUUCACCAGCACUAGAAAUCGAACCUAGGAUAUGUCGUGUGGAAUAUGAGCCUGUAAUUCGUCCCCAACCACUGAGCCACCUCGCGGUGAUUUUUCCCUCGAACAUUCUUAGGGUUGGUUUUAUAGUACCAUUUUUCACAGAAAAUUUUCUUGUUGUUAUAAAUAGAACGGAAUAAAAAUGUAUUUUUUCUUUUAAUACUAUUUUCAUGUAUAUUUUUUUCAUUUUCUUCCCACCAUUGUUCAUAUAUUUUUUUUCUCCCAUCAUAUUUACUCUCUAUUAUCAAUAAAAAGGUGAAAACUAUGAACUCAAAACGAAAUCGCUAUCAGACGACAUUUCCACUUAUAAUUUUAUAAUACAAGCAAUAACAAAAGAGAGAAAACUGAACAUGAGAAAUAUCGACAAAAAAAAAAGAACAUGAGAAAAAUAUCAAGAGAGGGGAAAUCAAACACAAAAUAUCUACUGUUAAGAAAAAUACUGUUACCCACUGGAACUACAACUCCAUGGGAGACAUAUUGUUAUUAUUUACUUCCUCAAAUCUGAACUUUUACUGAUUUAUUACGAUCAUUUUACCAAGAAAACCAUUCCGAUUUCAUUGUAAGUAAACAUGCUCUAUAAUUUUGUCAUUUACUUACAUGGCACCAACUCUGAGUGGACCCAUCAUGGCGCUGGGCCCCAACUUUUGCCCUAAACUACUAAGUGCAGCAUAAACAUCCAAAUAGUUGCCAACCCCUUCCCAUUAGAUAUAUACUUGUUAAAUAAUAUUAAUAAUAAUAAAAAUAAUAAUUUACACCUCAAUAAAUUUAAGUUAUUCAAAUUGAGAACUUUAACGAAAAGCUCAUGAUACUGUUCACUUUAAUGAAAAACCACAUUUUUAUACUAAAAAGUUAAUCAUGGUACUAUUCACUUUACCCUUUAUUUUGUCCUUAUCGUUAAAACUUAAAGUUUUCAAGCCAUUUUCAUUAGUUUUUCUAUUAAAAUUAGCUAGUUGAAUUAAAAAGAAAAUGAAAAUGCAUACCUGCUUGGAUGACGAGUUUAUAUAUAAUUAUUAUGGAAUAUAAAUGACUUAUUAUAUGUGUUUAACCAAAUUUUUACAUUUUAUAAUCAAACAUCAUCAUAUAAAAUGAAAGACAAAGCAAUUGUAGACUGCUUGUAAUCAAGUUAGCCAGACAAUGUAGCCUUCUGUAUUCAAGUUCGAAUUUUUUCCGUCUUAUUGUUUAAAUUAAUUAGAAUAUCAUUUUGUUAAAAAAGAAACACAAAAAAUGAAAAUACUUAUCCCACAAAACAAAUGGAUACAAAUUGAUAAUUGUUUCUGUACAAGCCAGAAAAACUGGCAUAAAAUGCCAAAUACAUUCUUCUGACUGUUAAAUCUCCGCCCUUCCUUCCUUAUCACACCAUCUCUCUCUAUAUCUUUUAUUUCUCCUUCUCUACCUUUUUUUUUCCUCCUUCAUUUCCCCAUUAUCUUCCACUGUGUUCUUCUUCCUCUCCUCGUUAUCCAAAACUCUCGAGCUCCAAACUUUGAGAGAGAAACUGAUAUAGAGAGAGAAAGAAAGAGCAAGCUUUCCUCCAUAUCUUCUUCUUCUUCUUCUUCUUCUGCAUAAUUAUUAUCUUAAUUAUGGCUUUCUACAUGCAUGGCUAUUAAUUGGUGCAGUAAGCUCCUUGUUUUCAACACUUAGAAAAACAAAGUCUUCCACUUUCUUUUCAAAUACUCGGUAAAUGUUCGAAGUCCUACAAACGUUCAAAGUUUUCAGUGUUUUCUUUAAUUAUAUAUUUUCACUUAAUAUUCAAUUUAGCUAUAUAUUUUUGUGCUAACUUUAUGAGUUUAUGGAUUAGUGGAUAAUUAAUUUGUGGUUAGUAUUGCCUUAUGCUUUAAACCUUAUCCUAGUUUUUUCCAAUCUUAUUAACACUGGUUUAAUGAAUUAAUAUAUAUGUUUAGGAGAGUAAUUAAGUAAGUUCAAGUUUAAGCUCAUUCCUUCAAGAGCAAGCUGCAAAAAUGGCGCCCAGAAACAGCCGUGGAAAGGGAAAAGGAGACAAGAAGAAGAAAGAAGAAAAGGGUAUUUAUCAUUAUCUUAUAUUUCUUAUUCAAAUUGCUAAUUUUGGAUUACGUAAGUUAAGCACCGAUUAAGUUAACUAAUUAAUCAUUUGUCCGUUUUUUUUUGCUCUGCAGUUCUUCCUGUUGUUAUGGAUAUCACUGUGAACCUUCCUGAUGAAAGCAGUGUCGUUUUGAAGGUUGUUAGAUUAUAAUUUUUUAAUUUAAAAAAGCUAAAUUCCUAAGUGUUUCUGUCUGUCUUGUUACUUGUACUCUUUGGAAGACAUUGGUUAAGAGCAUAUGUUUAGUUCUUAACUUGUUCAGUGGUUGGAUUUGAAUAUGUACUAACUCCUAAACACUUUCACCUACUUUCCCAUGAUUAAAGUUAGUUUUUUAGGGCUAGAAUGUAAUGACAAAAGUUAUACUAUUUUGUAUGUAUUGACGUUGAAUCUACUAUAUUUACUGAUUACAUACUCUUUAUAAAGAUCGAUUUAUGCAUCAGAAUUUUAUAUAUGUAAAAUAACAGGAUAGUUUUGAACAGGGAAUAUCGACAGAUAAGAUUAUCGAUGUUCGUCAGCUGUUAUCAGUGAACACAGAAACUUGUAACAUUACGAACUUUUCACUAUCUCAUGAGGUAAUUUCCAUUACCCACAUUAUUUCUUUUUUCUUUUUAUCAUUAUUAUUUCAAAGUAUCGAUUUCCCCUUUUGGAUAAGUAUCAAAAAUGGGAUGUAGUUGAAGGAAUUCAAUCCCUUUGCAUUACCAAAUCAAAAGCCAUUACUGUCGUUGCUAAAGGAGAAUAAACGACAAUUGUGACAAAAAAAUAAAAAAAGGAGAAUAAACGACCAUAAUGUUAUUGUCGUUUAUGGCAGGUAAGAGGGCAACGAUUGAAGGACACGGUGGACGUCUCCGCACUGAAGCCGUGCGUUCUGGCGUUGGUCGAAGGUAAUAGUCAAAACGUAUUCCGACGUCGUUUUAUCUCCACUUUUUAUGAUCUUUAUGCCCCGUAGGAAUUGGACACUUGAGGGCCCAUUGGGCCAGAGUGUCCGAACGUCGUCGUAUUAUGCUUCUUCUUCCUCAGUCAAAUUUCUCACUCUCUGUGCUUCUCAGAGGACUACGAUGAACAGCGCGCCACGGCGCACGUUAGACGCGUGCUCGACAUUGUUGCCUGCACGACAAGCUUCGGAGCGUCGUCUUUGCCGGCGAAGGACCAAAGAUCGAAGCUCGAUGCUUCUUCAACUGGCUCCGGCAAAAAUGCUCCGGUUGCGCAGGAUAAGAUCUCCAAGAAAUCCAACGCCACGACCGCCGCCGCCGUCAACGCCUCCAAGUCUCAAGUUCCUACCGGAACCGAUAAGCGAGACGUGGCGGGGGACUCGGAGACCGAGAUGAGCCACUCCUGCCUCAAGCUUGGUUCUUUCUACGACUUCUUCUCUCUCUCCCACCUCACUCCCCCUUUGCAAUGUACUUUCUCUCCUCCCUCCCUCUCUACUACGUGUAUACGUAUGUACGUAUUUAUCUGUGUAUUUGGAAGCAGAAUUUUGAAUUUUUGAAAAAUUGAGUGUAAAUGCUUAUGAAUUUUGCAGUUAUUCGAAGGGCGGCGAAACGGCAAGUCGAUGAGAUUGCGGCGGAUGAUCACAUUUUUUCUCUAGAAGUAAGACCUUCGUCUGCACAAUCCACACGCACCCAAAGACAAUUUAUUUAUCUAUUUUUGGGUCUGAUCAUCGAAAUACAUUGUGUAUAUUGGCAAUUUUUCAGGUGAAGCUUUGCAAUGGGAAGGUGCUUCUUGUUGAAGCUUGCCGAAAGGGGUUUUAUAGCAUAGGGAAGCAGCGGGUUCUCUGUCACAACCUCGUCGAUUUGCUACGGCAGCUUAGUAGAGCCUUCGACAAUGUUAGUAAAGCAUUUGAGUUUCUGUAGUGAUUUGCAUUUAUUCUAUUUCUAACUUUUCAUUUGUGUAUUGAAUAUGUGUAUAUUUAAUUUCUCAUAUUUCAGGCUUAUGAUGAGCUCUUGAAAGCAUUUGCAGAACGGAAUAAGGUAUGGGAUCAUUCAUUAUGCUUUCUUUUAUGAGUCUUUGUGUUAUUAUUUCUGUAUUUUGUAAUUGAUUUUCUUUGAUAUUUUGCAGUUUGGGAACCUUCCUUAUGGGUUUAGAGCAAACACGUGGCUCGUACCCCCUGUUUCAGCGCAGUCACCAUCAGUUUUCCCUGCUCUCCCCGUGGAGGAUGAAACUUGGGGUGGAAAUGGUGGUGGUCUAGGAAGAGAUGGGAAAUUUGAUCUGAUCCCUUGGGCUAAUGAGUUUUGGCAUAUUGCAUCCAUGCCUUGCAAGACAGCCGAGGAGAGGCAGAUUCGUGAUAGGAAAGCAUUCCUUCUUCACAGCCUAUUCGUCGAUGUUUCCAUUUUUAGAGCCAUUAAGGCUGUGCAGCAUGUAAUGGGAAAACCGGAAUUGACUUGUUCAGUUCCAAACAGUGAGAUUCUUUACUCCAAGAGUGUAGGGGACUUGAAUGUCACAGUUAUGAAAGAUGUUUCUAAUGCAAGCUGUAAGGUAGAUACUAAAAUUGAUGGAAUUCAAGCAACUGGAGUGGACGAAGCGAAUCUAGCGCAACGAAACCUUCUGAAAGGGAUCACCGCAGAUGAAAAUACUGCUGCCCACGUAAGUUAUUUCUGAGAUAGUGUUGUUGAUCAAUAAUCUUUGUCUCUACCAAAUGCGAUUUAUUUUGUAACUUUGGUGCGGUUGAGGUCAUUCUUGCUAAAUAUUGUGUGCAGGAUGUCAACACUCUAGGUGUUGUCAAUGUCAGAUACUGUGGUUACAUUGCAGUUGUCAAGGUUGAGGGGAAAGAAAAUAAGAAAGUUGGUUCUCCAUCUCAGAGCAUUGAAUUUGUUGAUCAACCCGAAGGUGGUGCCAAUGCCCUUAAUAUCAACAGGUACGCAAUAAUGUGUCAGUAAGUAUUAUGUAAAGCUACCAACAUGGAGUUUUCAGUGUAAGAGCCCAAUAAUGUGUCAGUGAGUAUUAUGUAAAGCUACCAACCUUUUGUCAUGGAGUUUUGAGUAUAAGAGCCUAACUAGUAUCUUGUUUUUUGCAGUUUAAGAUUACUACUUCACAAGACAAUACCUUCAGAGCAGAAUAAACCGGCAUCACAUAUGCAAACUCUGGAACACGAAGAUCUUUCAGCCUCAUGUGUUUUUGUUGAGGGGGUGUUAGAAGAAAGUCUUGCUAAGCUUGAGAAAGAGGAGCUAGAUUCUGAUAAUUUUGUGAGAUGGGAACUUGGAGCUUGCUGGAUACAACACUUGCAAGACCAAAAAAAUGCAGACAAAGAUAAGAAACCGUCAAACGAGAAGGCUAAAAAUGAGUUGAAGGUUGAGGGACUUGGGACACCUCUUAAAUCUCUUAAGAACAGCAAGAAAAAAUCAGAUGGAGGCAAUACCAAGCUGCAAUCUGAAAGCUCAAAGUCUCAUGUAGAUGGUGUUGUUGCGGAAGUUGAAAAUAGUAUAUCCCCUUCUGUGGAAUCAAAGCUUGAGACUAAUGCCAAAGAAUGAGCUUGUGUUGACAGAGAUAUUGUCUGAUGCUGCCUUUGCUCGACUAAAAGAUUCAGAAACUGGACUUCACUGCAAGGUAAUACAUUAUAGGUGUCACUAGAGGCUUUAGAAUUUAUUUAUUUGUACUACACAUUGUGUACUAAUGUAUUGUGUGCUUGACAGUCUCUGCAAGAACUGAUCGACUUGUCUCAGAAGUAUUACUCUGAAGUUGCUCUUCCCAAACUGGUAAACAUUUUUUUUCUUAAAGCUUGUUAUCUUUUUGCAUGGAAGUAAUGUUUGGUGAUUCUUCUUUCUAUAAAAUAUUCGUAUAAUGCAGGUAGCAGAUUUUGGUUCCUUGGAACUUUCACCGGUUGAUGGUCGGACCUUGACUGAUUUCAUGCAUACUAGAGGUCUUCGGAUGCGCUCUCUGGGGAAUGUUGUAAGUGUGCUUCUAACUUAGGGUUUUCAUUUUUAAUACAUGUCUCAUAUUACUCAUCUACCUAAGAAUCAAUUUCUUUUGUGUCCUCAGUUUUGCUUGGUGUUUAUGUCCCUUCUGAACUUCAUUAACUAUACUCUGUAGUCAGAUUUGUGGUUGUAGUUUGUUUACGUGGCUUUGAUGUAAUAGAAGAAAUAAAAAAGAACAAAAAUCAUGGCAAUUUUCAGAAUAUCUCGAGCUAGCCCUCCCUUUAUUAUGCACUGGUGACCGUUAGACAGUGUUAACCAGUCACGUUAUUAUAAGGCAUCAAAGCUCUAAUCUUCUUUAAGCAUUUCACUAAUAGAAAACAUUAACUUGCAUUGCCUCUCAUCUCCAAACUGAAACUCAUAAGAAAAUUUUGAAAUGCUAUAUGUAGAUGAUAUGUGGAAUGCUGCUUAAAUAGGUUAUCAUAUUGAACGAAAUGACUUUUAUUUCUUUAUAGGUCAAGCUUUCGGAGAAGCUAUCCCAUGUGCAGUCCCUUUGCAUUCAUGAGAUGAUAGUGCGAGCUUUUAAGCACAUACUUCAGGCAGUGAUUGCUGCCGUUGGUAACACUGAGAAAAUGGCUGUUUCAAUUGCUGCUGCAUUAAAUCUUAUGCUGGGGGUUUCUGAUAAUGAAGAAUUAAAUAAGUCUUGCAAUGUUCAUUCUCUUGUGUGGAAAUGGCUGGAGGUAUUCUUGCGAAAGAGAUAUGGAUGGGAUAUUAACAGCUUCAACUAUGACGAUGUGAGGAGAUUUGCGAUUCUACGUGGAUUAUGUCACAAGGUAUAUAUCAUGACACCGCAUAUUAGAUUCUGGAGAUGGCCCACAUUCUUGAAUUCUGACUUCGUAAUUUUACACUGUAUUUUUAAGUUUACACUGACAUUUUGCUUUCUCUUCCCCCUAUCCCCCACCCCCCAAAUUUAGGUGGGUAUUGAGAUGGUUCCAAGGGAUUUUGAUGUGGAUUCUCCAAGUCCGUUCCAAAGUUCAGAUAUUGUCAGCCUAGUCCCAGUGCAUAAGGUGACGACUGGACAUAAAACAUUAGAAGCAUCUGUUUUCCUUUCUUUCGAUUUUUAGAAGGGAUAAGAGUGAUUGCCCAUCUUUAGUAAUUUAACCUUUUCUUUUACUUUUUUCAGCAAGCUGCUUGCUCUUCGGCAGAUGGUAGGCAACUCCUAGAAUCAUCAAAAACAGCUUUAGAUAAGGGAAAACUUGAAGAUGCAGUUGCAUUUGGCACUAAGGUACGCAGACUGGUGCUGGAAGGUUUUCUUUCACCUUUUUAUAUUAAUAUUCUAGUUGGUUACCGGCUGUACUUUGCCAUUUGCAGGCUCUUGCAAAGCUGGUAGCAGUUUGUGGUCCCUACCAUCGAAUGACAGCAGGAGCUUACAGCCUCCUUGCUGUAGUUUUAUAUCACACUGGAGACUUCAAUCAGGUCUGUUCCUAUCCCUUUUGUUUCAGUGUUUCUGGGACAUAUAUAACUGUUACUUUCUGGGUCAAACAGAUUUUAAAUUGGGGGAUCGGCUACAUAUGGUUUCAUAUUUUUAUUGUUGAAGGUGGAACGGAAUGUGCAGAAGUGUGCAAAAUAUAGAAAGUUUGUCUUUCAUUUUGUAAAGGUUUUAUGUCGUGGAUGACCAAUGAUGUGUUCCCAUUACAGGCUACAAUUUAUCAGCAAAAGGCCCUGGAUAUCAACGAGAGAGAAUUAGGGCUUGACCAUCCAGACACCAUGAAGAGUUAUGGGGAUCUUGCUGUGUUCUAUUACAGACUUCAACAUACGGAGCUGGCUCUCAAGUAUGCUUUUUUCUUGUUCAAAAGUGAUCCCGAUGUAUAUAACAUCACAGUUUAUGUGUUUAGGGGAAUAAUUUUCAAAGUGAUGAUGUGAAUGGGUUGCUCUCUCGAUCUUGUGGAUGCAAGCUGCUUGCCAUUUUUGUUUCACAGAUCGAACCUAUGGGGCUAGUUAUGGGGGCAGAUAACCUGCUGUCCCUUUUCUUGUUCAUCGUUGAUGUAUUUCCAUUUAAAGGCAUAGAAACAGGGUGAUAAAUUAGUCAUGAGUCAUAGCUGCAUGCUGCAUAGUCUGUUCAUUCAUUAGUAUACGCGUUAUUUUUUACAUUCCUCACAAGUACAAGCUCACAAUUUCUGCUGUUCAGGUAUGUAAAGCGUGCUCUGUAUCUUUUGCAUCUCACAUGUGGACCAUCUCAUCCAAACACUGCUGCAACAUACAUCAAUGUGGCUAUGAUGGAGGAAGGCCUGGGAAAUGUGCAUGUUGCCCUUCGAUAUCUACACAAAGCCUUGAAGUGUAAUCAAAGGUUACUCGGCCCGGACCAUAUUCAGGUUGUGUAUUCAUUCAUUUAGUUGUUGUUUAAUUUAUUUAUGUCCUAAAGCUUAUAAGCUAUCACAAUAUUCGAGGUCAGAUGCUGCGGUAAUUAAACAGUUAGCGCAAAAAAUGAGGACUCAGUUUUUAACAAGUAAACAACCAGUGAAACUUCAUGUCUUAACACCUUCACAGAUGUACUGCUGGAAAUUUGAUUUAAUAUGGUAAACUGUAAAUUGUUUAUUUUGUAUAUUUGAGAAUUUAACCAUUUUAAUGUUAAAUCUCUCCAGACAGCAGCAAGUUACCACGCUAUUGCAAUUGCUCUCUCUUUGAUGGAAGCUUACCCUUUAAGUGUUCAGCAUGAGCAGACAACUUUGCAAAUUCUACGAGCAAAGCUUGGCCCAGAUGACUUACGGACACAAGUAUACCCUCCUCUUGGUUUAGCCCAUCCUUUCUCUUAAAACUCUUCUACCUCCUCGAGGAUUAACCAUUCAAAAAUGUUUUACCAAACACUGCAGGAUGCUGCUGCUUGGCUUGAGUACUUUGAGUCCAAGGCUUUCGAACAGCAAGAAGCUGCAAGAAAUGGGACUCGAAAGCCUGAUGCAUCUAUUGCCAGCAAAGGCCACUUAAGGUUUGAUAGCAUUGUUAACGUUAAUAUGGAUUGCUGAAGUUAUAAUGUACUUUCUGCUCCUGUUUUUAUGCUUAACCACACGGCUGUAAUUUUCAUUUACCUAUGCACUUGAAUUGUUGAUUUGGAAGUGUAAAAAUGAGGAUUUGAUGGUAAGAGGUGACCCAUUUCCAUGCCUGCAUGCCACUUCGAGAAACUUGCCUUGAUAUUGAAUUUAUUCCUUUUGAAUUUUCCGGUCGGGAGACAAUUACUCUGGCUAAGAUGAAUUAGUGGAUCCUUUACAUGCAUUGCCACUACUGACUUCUUGCCUUAAAUCCUUUCUAAUACCAUAUUGUUCUAAACUUGGCAGUGUAUCAGAUUUGCUUGACUACAUUAGUCCAGCUCAUGGUGCCAAAGGGAGAGAGGUGGCAGGAAAGAGGAAAAGCUACUUAACAAAGGUACGUUUGGAGUUCAGACCCAUUUUCUUUUGUGGUUUUGUUUGCCAUUUCUUUUAUCUUUUUUCCAGUUUCUGUUAUUUCUUCCCUUCUUGAAAAAUAGAGUUUUCGUCGUGGUUAUGGGUUCAACCCAUCCUUAGUUCAUAUGAAAUCUGGGCUCUUAACAAAUGUAAGUAGAAAUAUCCAAAUUGUUGUUGUUGGAAAAUUGGUUACUCUUGGAACUGAUAGAAGCCUUUAUUAAAAUGGAUAAACCCCAACAAAACCUGCUUGCGUGCAAGGUCUUCAUCAUUGGUAACAAGCUGAAGCACACCUACUGGGAAAAAAAAUUAUUAAUUCAACUUUGAACCGAAUAAGAAUUAUCCCGCCCCCAUUUUGACCAUUUUGCGUGAGCUUUCAAGGAACAUUUCUAGUGUUCAGAUAGAGAUACCAUGCCCUGCUAGAAGACACACUUUCUUUACACUCCCUAUUCUCAUUGUCAUGCACAUGAGCAAACUAUUUCAAAUUUUUGUGCAGUUGAAGGAAAAAUCCAUCCAAACUAUCAGUUCAGCUAGUUCUGAUGAGUCUUCAAAAGAAACCACAAAAGAGGGUUCGGACGAAGAGGGUCAGGAGACGAAUGUACUUGAACCAAUUGAUAGAACAGAUGUUAUCCAGGAGAGCAGACCUCCUCUGGUUGAACCUCAGCACGUCGUGGAAGAGAAUGCAGAGGAAAAUUCAAAUGUUUUCGAUCAGAUAUCUUCUGAAACAUAUAUCGAAGGUGGUGAUGAUGGGUGGCAAUCAGUUCAAAGACCUAGAUCAGCUGGCUCAUAUGGGCGGCGUCUAAAGCAGCGGCGGGCAACUAUUGGGAAGGUCUAUAAUUACCAGAAGAAGUAUGUUGAAAGUGACGUGGACUAUUCUUCAGUGAAGAAUAUUAAUCAAAACAGUAGUUAUUAUCUUGUAAAGAAAAGGCCAACAUCUCACGGAAGUUAUGCAGACAAUCAUACUGCAAAACCCUCCCAAGGUACUAAGUUUGGACGGAGAAUAGUUAAAGGUGUAACAUACAGAGUUAAGUCUAUGCCUUCGUCUACCAAAGUAGAUACCGAAGAGCCCUCUAACGGUGGCAAAAUUUUGAGUUCUCCAUCAGAAUCUAUUCAAAACGCUUCACCACAUGGAAUUGGCCCAGUAAAAAAUUCCGUAGUCAGUCUUGGGAAGUCUCCUUCUUACAAGGAAGUAGCAUUGGCUCCACCAGGUACUAUUGGGAAAUUUCAAACCCAGUACAACAUUCCAGAUAAUCAGGAACAUGGUGUCCGAGUUCAUGAGGAAGAAACAACUGAAGUCAAAGGAGAUUCCAAACCAAACACAACUGAGUUAGGAAAUGUACUUGAAGAAAAGGACUCUGUGUUGGACUCUGUAUUGGUUACGACAGACCACAUACCAGACGAAACCGGAGCUGCUGAGAAGAAAGGAGAAGUUAUUUCAAACGAUUCAAAGGAAGAUAAGUCUUCACUGAUGGUAUUAGAGAGUUUGGAUGGACACGGAUCCAGCGGUGUUAAGAUUGAUGAAGUGGUAGAAGAUAACUUGUUGACAGACGGAGUGCCAAAAUCUUUGGGUUCUCCCAAGGGAUGUGAGACGGAUCCAUCUGGUACUUGUGAACUGCAUGACUCCAACUCUACCAUGCAAGGUGUAGACGAUGCUGUGAGUUCAGUUGAUACUCGGGGACUGCCCAGUAAGAAGCUAUCUGCCUCAGCAGCUCCAUUCAAUCCCUCACCACCUGCUGCACGUGCUGCUCCGGUUUCCAUGAACAUUGCAAUACCUUCGGGUGCGGGUAAUGUCCCAACUGUUGCACCUUGGCCAGUAAACAUGAAUCUUCAUCCAGGGCCCGGUACUGUCUUACCCACGGUCAAUCCAAUGUGCUCCUCCCCUCACCACCCAUACCAUUCUCCUCCUGCGACCCCAAACAUCAUACAACCAUUGCCUUUUAUGUACCCUCCUUACAGUCAACCCCAAGUAAUCCGAACCAGUGCCUUUCCCAUUACUAGCAGCGGGUUUCAUCCAAAUCAUUUUGCAUGGCAAAAUGUGAACCCCCAUGUUCCCGAGUUUGUUCAUAGUCCAGUUUGGCCUGGUUGUCAUCCAAUGGAUUUCUCUGCCCCUACACCUGUUGCUGAGCCAAUUUCUGAACCGACAGUGGAGCCAAAAUUUCACAAUGAUGAUUCUGCUCCAGUUCUGCCAGCGGACAUUGACAAUUUGGAGGAAACUAAGCAAGAAGUGAACCUUCUGACGUCAGAGGCAAUGAGCAAUGCAGUUGAAAGUGUAAAGGAAAAUGGUCCUUCAAACCUUUGCAGGGUUGAACUUGCUCAGAGCGAACCAACUGACAACCCAAAUGGAAAUGCUGCAAGUAGCGGUGAACGAACAAACGAUGGAGAGAAAACCUUCAGCAUUUUGUUGAGGGGUAGGAGAAACAGAAAGCAGACUCUGCGAAUGCCAAUCAGUUUGCUCAGUCGACCGUAUGGCUCACAGUCCUUCAAAGUCAUAUGUAACAGAGUAGUCAGAGGGAAUGAUGCUACCAAAGCCACCAGCUUUUCAUCAAGUGAAAAUUGCACAGCUACUGCUACUUAACGCCAAUUUGCUUUUGCUACCGAUCAGGGCAGCCGGAUUUUCUAGAAAAAAGCUGGAUUCCUGACAAGAAUCACUUGAUCUUUUGUGGCUCUUUUGUUAACAAAGCACGUUAGUUUCUGCUUACACAUGGUCCUCAAAAAAUGAAUUCAGGUUAGUGGUCUGGCUAUACAAUCUUCUAACAAUUUAUAGUUCUUUCUUCGUGAAAUAUGCAUAUAUAGAUACGACCCUUUAAUAAAAAUAGAACUUGGGAAACACUAAAAUGGACGAUAUGCCGUAUAUAUAACAUGGUUUAGUGCCUCUUUAUUGUCUAUCGAGUGUGCUUCCAGUUCUAUUUUUUGGUUAAAAGUUCAUAACCGGUUCCAUUUGUUCGUAUUUCCUUUUCGUCUUCUGUCUUGUUAGUAUUUUGUAGGCAAGGUAAGCUUGUCUUCUCACUGAACGUAUACAUUUGUGCAACUGUGGAUGUGCAGGUUUGCAGUAGGAAGCUUAUGUUUUGCGACUUGUGUGGGAAGGGUUUUUAUGGGGUGACAAUUUUGGUUCAUCACAUAUGAGAAAUUUUGUUAUUUUUGGAUUAUCGGACCACAGCAUUCAGAAUCAAAACUGAUACCAGUUCUUAUUUUGGCUACAAUAAAUGGGAUUUUGAUUUUUAAUUUGGAUAAAUUGUAUAUGACCUAAUUAUGAUUUCUUUUUCUUCAUUUCCUUAUCUAAUUUUAGAUGAGUAUUAACUUUAUUAACAUGGGAUAUUUUGUUGUUUUUACAAUAAUGUAGUGAAACCACCGUCAAAGUUCAGAUUUUUUUAUUUUAUUUCAUUUUAUUUUUUAAUAUAAUUUUUUCACCAUGCCUUGUUUGAUUCAAUUCAGGUAACAAAUCUUUUCUCUGGAAAGAUUGAUGUUAUUGUUUGUGUCAUCUUUUCGGUUCAAAGUUUUUUAUAAUUCGGGUUUAAACACUAAAAAAUAAUCUAAAUUUUAAAUCUAAAUAUUUUUAUAAAUACGGGUACAUUAAACUCUCUUCAAAGUGAGCUUAUCAGAAGCUCAUUUUAUACUAGGUCUAAUCGGAUAAAUGGGAUUUUGGUUUGACGUGUGCACCUUCUUCCUCGUCUACGUGUGUUUCCAAGCACCACCAUUGAACAACCAAUCAGCUCUGAAAACCCAUUUCGUCUUCCUCCCAACUCAAUCCGCCUCCGGCACUGCUUCGUCAUAGAGAGUGCCUAUAACUGGCUAUGGGAUUUAGCAGUGAAGGAGUUGAAUAUGUAGACGAAUUAUUUGACGAAAGUCCCAACUAGAUUUUAGUCACCGGACCAUACGCUAAGCGAAUCAAAUCCUUCUUGGCAAGAUCUUGAAUGAGAAGAUAACCCAUUAUUUUGAUGGCAUUUUCUGGGUAUAACGAUUUGAUCUCCGACAAGAGUUUCAUAGGGUUCCAUGGCAUUUUUUCUCUCAAAAGGAAAAGGAGUGAGAAAAUUGGUUUUAGAGUAGGGUUUGAAGUGUUUCAGUAGAGAGCGUAAAGUCUCUCUGUUUUUAUGUCUUUUUUUUUUGUGUCGAAUAUAUAUUAAUUUUUUAUGGGAGUGGGAGGAGUGUCGGAGGCAGAUUGAGCUGGGAGGAAGACGUCGGUGGGGUUCUCAGAGCUUAUUGGUUGUGAACCGCAUGGACAGGAAGAAGAAGGUGCACAUGUCAAAGUAUUUUUUUACCCUCUAUUUAAAGGACAAUUAACGAAAAAAUAACUUUUAGAUUAAGUUUGCCAACGGACUAAACCACGGAGCUAUCUUCCGAUCAACCUAGUACCACGAGCCCCUAAAAUGAUGAAACAUUCAAAAUCCCAAAAGAGUCAAUUAUCACACGUGUGCGCGUGUGGCAAGAUGCUAGUAUCUAUGAAAAGUAAAGCUAUCUGACUGUAUCCUAUUAAAUUAGUUUACUCCAACACCUCAAAUCAAAAUACAAUAAAACUAUAAGGUAUGAUAGGAAUCAUCAAUACUUUGAUGCAAAAUAUCAAAGCCAUUUCAUUAUAUAGCCACAUUUCAUACCUUUUUUUUUUUUAUGUUUGAGUGACUUCUUUCUCAUGUAAUUCCCAUGAGAGAUAUUUUUAAGUGUACAAAAAUAAAACUGGUAUCUAAUUACACUAACACAAAAUUCCCUCAAGUUUGAGAAAUUAAAUGAACGCUUAUUGAAAUUUAAUUCAUGUUCACAUCAUUCCUUAAAGAUGAGUUUACGCUUAUAAUAAAGUACUUAAAAAAAUAAAAAAUCCUUUAUAAAUAAAUAUAAAAUUUACCAAACGUAGGAAAUGUAACAUUUCCAAUUCCCAAACCUAGUUCCCGCAGGUUGCACCUUAGCUAGGACCUCAAACUUAUAAGCCAAUAAUUACAUCACAUUAAUCGCUUAUGUUAUGGCUUAGAGUUUAGGUCGCAAAGUCAAACGCCCAAUAUUGCCCUUCUCAUAUUGAUGUUUUCAUGGAUACCAAUGUGAAUCAGAUCAUAAUAUUAGGUAGAUGUGAUAAAAAAAGUAUAUCGUUCUUAUUCUAGCGCAACAAUAUACUCUACAGAUGUUAGAGGAGAUGAUCGCACAUUGGUCAUAUGAUAAAAUAAUAUUCAGUUAAUAUAUGAGAGGCGUUUCCACCUCUAAUAUCAUUGAAACUUUUUACGAUAAAACCCAACAGCUAGUAACAUGUGGUUAAGUUAGAAUAAUAUUGAUGAUAUUGAUGGUGGAUCAUGCUAAAAAACACUUCCAACUUUUCUCUUAGCUUUUACCAUGCACCUCAAUUGUACGUACAUAUUAUACAUGUAUUUGUCAUUCAUAUAUAUCAAAAAAUACGCGUAGCUAUUUCAUACAAUUUUUUUUUUUGCAUUCUGUAUUUUACUCACUGUGAUAUCAUGCAUUACAAAAGACGAAGAAAAGAAAAGGAAGAAAAACGAGAGAGAAACCUCUUAGAGAACUUGAAUCUUUCUUGCUGCCUAUUGGAUUGGAUUCAUUUGGAAGUUUGGAGUAAUAUCAUCCUUCUCUGUUCUUCUCAUCCUUGCCAAUACUUCUAACAGAAUUACUGAGACAAGAAUUACGCCGAGAAGAAAUCCGUAACCAAUCUUCCAGUCAUUUCCUUCACCUCCAAUCUUGAUCCCCAGAACUAUGUUCACAGCUGCAAAGAAGACUGCAAACCUGCCAAGCCAGUGGUGGUACCAAUUCCAGUACUUUCUAAUGUUCUUGGCAUCCUUGUUGGGUCUUAGAAAAAAUGCCAAUAUCUGAAAAUUACCUCUAAUCAGAAACUCAGAAAUAUCAAAUUACAAUUCCUUUGUGGAACAUGAUAUAUUUUUAACGCGUAAUGAAUUGAUUGUAGUGCUACUUAGAUACACAAACUUGAUACAUUUGUUGACAGAUUCUCUAAAAUAUAUGGGUCUCACGUGGAACAGUAUUUUUUUUGGGUCAAUUCACGUGUAAUGAUAGGACCCGCCUCUGUAGGAGAAUGUGUCAACAUGUGUACUAGUUUUGUGCGUCUGAAUCGUAUUAUUGUAAUAGAUUUAGUGGUGAGGGACAAACCUGAAGGAUGCUAAGUACAAGAACAAAAAUUCCUAUGCCUCUAUGCGUUGGAAAGUUGGCUCCUAUUUUAGUAUAGAGUUGCUGGCCAAGUACCACAGCUGCAAGCCCAAUCACAAAUCCAACAAAUUGAAUAAUUGAAUGGAGAUAGUACCACAAAGGUUCCUUGUGCUUCAAGUAUCUUGGCACAAUUGCCCCAAUAGGAAUUAUUAGACCCCAUCCAAAUAUAGCCAAUAUUCCAUGGUUCUUCUUCAUUUGCCCAAUAUCACUAGGUGCCUCUCGCACAGAUGCGGAGCCUGCAGAGAAAUCGAACAUGACGGUUGUUUUAUCGUUGUGUUUGGUUAGGUGGUGGUGCUUGGGGUAACCGCUUCCGAUAGCCAAGAUGAUUGGCUGACGAGCAAGACGAGCUUGGAAUUUCAUCUGAAAAGCCAAGUAAAUUCUAGGUCCAUGAAGCACAACAGAAGCAGGAAUGCCAGUGAGUGGCAAUUCACCUUUGUCUGGGAUGACUAGUGACACCUUGGAGCCUUGCAAAUAGUAUUGCUUAAUUCUUGCUUCGCCUUUUCUGUUAAUCCAUCCCACUAUUGCACUUGAACCAACCAUCAUUCCAUCUUUGGAAAAUCCUAUUCCUACCCAUCCUGUAGUGUAUACAGCGGAUAAUAUAAUGUUCACGACGUGAUCUUCUGUCUGAGAGUACUGCAACAACCAAAAAAAUGAAAGAAAUAGCUAGCUAAAUUUAAUUAUACGUUUGCAAAUAUAGUUUAGAAACGUAUAAUGAUUUCCGCACAAGUCUUUUCUUCCCGUGCACCUUUGUUUAUUCUAACAUUCGAAUUGAAUAAAUUAAAUAAGAAUUGAAGGACAAAAAUGAACAGGAGUGUGCAGAAAGAGAGCAGGCGUGCAUAAAUUAUUUCUCUAUAGAACCAACUUAACAAUGAAAUCAAGAUUGAGUACAAACUUACUCUCAAAACAAAAGUGUUCCAAAUAGGUCUGCAGACUAGAUCAGAUGAUGAAUUACUAUAUGGUGGUAGCAUAAAACUGCUCAGAUCAUUGUCACAAGGCUCCGAUGCAUCAUUGCCCCCACCAGCGCUAUUAACCCCCGGAACAUAACUGCCAUCAGCAGCCAUAACAUCAAACUUGGCCUCCAAGACAAGGGUCAGAAUACAUAGCCUGAAAGCAAACCUCGAAGCAAAAACCGACCAAGACCCCAAGCUCGCCAUUGGAAAGAUCAAGAACUAGGAAUGCGAUCCAAGGCUAGAACAGGCAGUGACAAUACCAUGGACGAUGUAAGUUGUGAAAGAGAAGGCGCAUUCAGGAGGUUGGUAGGUUUUAGUCUCUUGGGUUUGAAGGAAAAUGGAAAGUGGUUGGUGGUGGUGGGGAUGCUGGUUGGUGUUGGCAGAUGUUUACAGUGGUUUAAUUCUAACCAAAUUUUUAGGACAUUAUCUCUUAGUAAUAACCAUUUCUUCCAAUUCUUGCAAACUAAACAACCCCCACCACCACCCCCACACUCACACACGCAAUAAUAUUUUGUUGGGUUGGACUUCAUUAUAUUGCAAAUAGUAUGUCAUUAUAUUGCAAGUAGCAUGUCAUUAAAUUGCAAAUAGUAUGUAAGUAUAUUGCAUAUAGUAUGUCAAGCCACUAGUAGUGAGGUUGGGAAGGGUGAUGGACGGAGGAGUAUACUAAGUUCAGGACUCUCGGAACCCUCUAAUGUAACAAAAAAAAGUACCAUUUUGUUUACGGUAAAUGGGGGUAAGUGUCUUCGCCCAUGAACGGUAGGUCUGGGGUUCGAGACUUGGGAGCAGCCUCUCCAUAAAUGGGGGUAAGGCUAGCCGACAUUCACCUCUCCCAGACCCUGCGUAAAGCGGGAGCCUUGUGCACUGGGUACAACGACCUUUUUUGUUUACGGUAGAAGUUAUAACAAGCAACGAGAGAGGGCGGAAUAGUGGGUUAAAAUUAGGAUGAUCAAAUAUUCGAUUGCCUCCCAUGUAAUUAAAAAAUACAAUUUUAUUACUUGGAUGUUAGACAAAAACAUAUAUGAGAAUUUGUAAACUAUAUAUGAUGGUUGGAUAUGAAUGAGAUGAAACUUUGAAGUCGACUUCUUGUGUAUUACAAGAUACCAUAAUUAAGGGCCUAUAAUUGCAUUCAAAAGCUUCUCACGCCCUAAACCAAAUAUAAUAGGCACAACUACACCAUAAGUGCAAAACGGGUAAAGAAGUUCACUUGAUGUACAAUGAUUAUUGAUGAGCUUUUAAGCAAUGCAAAGAAUUAGAUGCUUCAUACAAAAAGUAGAGUCAACAACUUGAUCGCUAGAUCUAUUGGGCUGUUUUUUGCUACAUGAUGACAAAUAAUAGUUACUUUUUCGUAGUCAGGUAGCGGCCCUCUAACCGAUUAUAUAUCCUUUGUUAUCUCUUUUAAUACGUGAAAAAGAUAUAGAACCGAGAUGACUAAGAUUCUCCCAUAAAUUUCAGGCAGCUUUCAAAUGCAAAGUUCCUUGCUAGAACCUGCACACCGAGGCAACAAUUGAGGGGGUGCCCCCCAGUAUCGGCCAUGAACGAACACAUCCAAAGUCUCCACCCUGCUCAUUCAUGAUGGGACGCUAUCAAGGACAGGCCUCUAAGGCCCACUGGGGGCAGCUGCCUACAUUGAAGUUUUGUGUAGAGGAAAAACAAUCACGAAACUUACAGAACUUAAAUUUAUCAUAUUUAAGUACUUUAAGUGAUUAGUUGAAAUUUUAAAUAAUAUGUACAAAAUGCUAUUAUUGUGAAAAAAAUGUCUACAAGUUGGCUUAAUGAAAUUUGAGAAGGAAAAGAAAAGCAAUGAAAUUAUAGAAGAAACUCUACUAUCAUGAUUUUUUUUUCCCUCAAGUAUAACUAGAGGUUAAGGUCGCCCCACCUAAAGAAAGUUUUUAACUGCAUCCUUAGAUACAGUGACAUUUUUAACCUUGAUAUCACUGAUCACUGCACAGAUUUGUUUGGAGAGUUAUAAAUUAAAAAGAUAUUCUCAUCAUUCUUCUCCCCUUUGCAAGUUUGAUAGCGAAAGAAAACAUGAAAAGUGAUUUAGCCGUUAGCCAGGCACCCUAAAGAUAUGGUCCUCACCACUCUUCUCAUCAACCUUGACAACCCAUUUACUCUUACCACUCCCCUUACUUCCUCCACGCCAAUAUCCCUUGCCAACCUCAGUGUUCUUCCCAAUCACGGUGACCUCCAUUCCUUUCCCGAUGGAAUUCUUCGUAGACCUCACCGGAGCCCUCUUUUCCAUCACUCCCAAUGCCCUUCCAACCCCUUUCUUUCACCAACCAAGUUAUUAGCCACAACCACUGAUUUUCUAGGGUUAACAUCUAGCAACUUCAGCAGCCUUGUGUAAUCAUCAUUCUUGCAAUCAACCACAGAGAAAUCAAUGUUCUUGUAAUUCGACAACAGCUCAGAAGGGUCACUGGUCUUGAACUCCACCAAGUCUUUAAGGCCUAAGUCUCUGAUUACUUUCUUUGAUUCAUUGAGGACUGGCUCGGGAAGAAUGCAAACCAGUUUUCCUCCUGUGUGUUUUGCAGCAACUGCUAAGGCUAUCGUUGAUGGCGAAACUGUCGAGGUCACCUCCACUAUGAGUUUGGCUUUCAUGCCGGCAGCCAAAGCUGAAACAAAUUCAUUGCUGCCUGGCUCUUGUGUUUUCCAUGAGACACAUUGUCUCCCACGGUCAUUGCACUGCAGAAAUGAAUACGAAUUGGAGUUAGCACAUUGGAAACAUUGUCUUACAUCCUUCUUUAAGCCCUUGAACAACACAAGAAAAAGGUACAAAAUUGAAAAAUGAGGGCAGUAUAUAUGAAAAUUGUUGUUUUAUUUGACUUCGCCACAUGUUGCAUGUCAAACUAUCACCCUAGACAAUUGAUGAAGUAACCCUUUAGCAGUAUGAGAAUUUAACAUGCAAAAUAUAUCGUUUUACUAAAAGAAGUCAAACUAUCAAUGUAGACAAUUGAUGAAGUAACAUUUGAGCAGAGAAUUUAACAUGCAAAAUAUAUCGCUUUACUGAAAGAAAAGAAAAAAUGUCAAACAUCUCACACGAUUUUAAGUCCCAUUUCUGUCAUGAUAUUUAAAGGCAAUAAAACCCUAAGAAACACAAAUGUUUUUUCAUAGUUACGCCCACUUCCGAAAACUAUGAACUAAGAAACCCAAAGGACCAGUUGAAUCAAUAAUUGAUUCCAACUCUUAAACAAAUUGGAGGAAAACACAACAGAGAAAUUUACAAAGAAAGAAAGAAAGAGGGAACAAGAAAAGUACAUACCAGUUUUAGGGUAUCAAAAUAAGCUUUUGUAGCAGAUUCUGCAGACCAUUCCAUCACCCUCAUAGCCCCCAUGAUCUGAUUAUUAUAACUUGGUCCAGGACAAGAAUUAAAUCGUUUAUCGUAGCCCUGGAUUUGUGUGUUCUACGGUUGAUGUAUAUACUCAAGGCCCUUUAUGCAAAGGGAUUCUCAUUUUUUGAAAAAAAUUGGGAUUAGGUGUGGCGCCCACUCCAUAUCGAAUUUCAACAAUCCGAACCGUUUAUUUUGUUAGUCUCGAUUCAUAGAUCAUUCUUGCAAAAAUUCAAUUCAAUCCGAAACCAUUUGCCUAUUUAAUUAUCAAGAUCAAUUUUGUUUUUUUUAUAUAUAUAUAACAAAAUAUUCGUUUAUUUCUUUGAAUCCAAUUAUAUGUCUUAAAUAUUUCCGAUUUGGCUAAUAUGUUGCAAGGAUGAUCUAUAAAGUCUACUUGAAAAAUAGACGGUUCGGAUCGUUAAAGUUCGAUGUAGUAUGGAACCCACAACUAAUUCCCAUUUUUAUAUAAAAAAAUAAAGAUCCCUUCCCUUAAAGACUUUAUGUAUAUACUUGUCUUUUCUUUUGUUUGUUUGGUUUUUGUUUUGUUGGUGACGAUAUGCGGGAAAUCAUUUGCCUAUAAUUGGGAAACUCAUGGUUUGAUUCUUAUUUGGGUACACACUAAAAACUUCUUGUGAACUUACUCGGAUCAAUAUGUUUAAUUAUUGUGUAGAAACCUUCCAACGGUGGAGGUAAUGAAGUAGAGCAAAGUCUCAUUUUCAUUUUUUGUAUUAAUCAACAAUGUCGUUUAUGAGAUUUGAUUCACGACCUUUACAAAUCACAUUAGUAUGGGCUUCUUUUUUUUUAAAAAAAAAAAAAUGAAUGAGUUAUAUAAUAUCAUUGAAAUGAAACAAUUACAAAAUAACUUGUAAAUGUUGUGAACUAAAUUACAUAUGAAAUUGGGUGUGAGAGAGAGGGGACGAUAGGAAGAGAGAAAGGCUCAGGUGUAUAAGAAUUUUAUAUUCACCUCCAAACCUUGUAUCCUUAUUUAUAUUAAUCAUGAUGGGCUUACUUACCUUACAUGAAAUACAAAGCGUAUGAGGAUUUGAUCUCCAAAUCCUAUUGGGAUUCUACUUUAAGUUUACAUAAUCACAUUCUUAAUUAAUAAUAUUAUUUACAACACCCUUCCUUGAGUGUGUACAACUUAAGAAGUAGUUGCAUUAAGUUUUCAUGAAUAACAUGGGUACGACCAACCCAAAGUAGGUGCCUUGUCAAAACCUCAUCUGGAUAGCAAAAACCUAGUAGAAAAAAUGCUCAUGUUUGUAGGGGAAAAAGUGCAAUAAGGUCAUGUGAAUAUGCUUUAGGAACUCCCCCUAAGUUUAAUAAAACUCCCCAAGAGAGUACCAGUGAUGCAAAUCUAAAAGCUUAUGCAAUCCAACUCCUUGAACAAGUUUAUGAAAAGUAGACUUUGACAGCGACUUCAUGAAUAAGUCAACAAGGUUGUCCUGGGAUCAUAUUUUCUUGACUUCGAUCUUCUGAUGCUCUCGUUGUUAAUGAGUGAAGAAAAACUUCAAGGUAAUAUGCUUGAUAUUGUCGCCUUUGAUGUGUCCUUUCUUUAACUUGUCGAUACAUGCAACGUUGUCUUCAUGAAUUGUUGUAGGAACAUCAACGAUGGAAGAAAAACCACAUGAGGUUCUUAGGUGAUUAAUCACACCCCUCAACCAGAAGCAUUCAUGCGGUGCUUCAUGUAGGGUGGGAACCUCAACGUGAUUUGAAAACGUAGCAACCAACUAUUGUUUGGUUGAUCUCUAAGAUACUGCAGUAUAUCCAAUGCUACAGACAUAACUCGUUUGAGGAUGAGCCUUGUGCGGGUCGGAUAAAUAACCAACGUUAAUAUAUCCAACAAGGCGGAUAUUAUUCCGAGGACCAAGAGGGUUGGAUCCGCUCGGUGAUGUGUAUGGACAGAAUAAGUUUAUAUCCAUUGUACCCUUAGGGUGCGUUUGUUGCACGAGACUAUUUUGGACUGGAUUGGCUUGGCUUGGACUAAGCAGGAUAAAAACAGUGAAGUGUUUGGUGCAGUACCGGACUAAAUCACGGACUAAAUUAUUAUUGGAAUUCAAAUAUUUUUUUUUGUCAAUUUUUAAUUUAUCUUGUUGAUAUUUUAUUAUCAUCAUUCUAUGCUUUUUUAUUUGGCUCACUCUCUCUCCCGUCUCUCUGCCCUUCUUUUCUUUUCAUCCCCGUCUACUUCGCACCGCCCAGAACUUUUCUUCUUCUUUUCAUUUCAUUUCCUAUCAACAAUUUAGGAAAUUAUGAAUAUGUACUUCAACCCAUAAUCCAAAUAUUGUACCCAAUUUCUCCAAUAUCAGUUACAAUGAAAAAUUCAAAUCAAACCCAGAAAAAUUCCAAAUUGUUUUUUUUUUCCAUUUGUGGAGACUUCGUCUGAUUAUGCAGAUGAUUUGUCAGAAUUUUCAGAUGCUUCGUCGGAUUGCCGGUUGUACAAAGGCCUCCGCUGAAAUUGUGUACAGGACACUAUUAUUGGGAUUGUUGAUAUUGUUUUGAGAUUUAGGUGUUGCAUUUGGGUUUCUGCAUCUAGGCAUGGUUGGUGGAAGAGGUCAAGGAGGAAGGAGCCCAAUUGGAGGGCGCGACCGAUGAGCUUGGUCUGAGCGGAGGUGAAUCAGACGAUGGAGCUCGUGAGUUCUCUGAUUUGAAAUUCGAAUCGAGGUCUUUGUUCAUGAUUCAGGGUUGGGGACGAGGAGAGGGAGAGAACGCGAGCAGAGAGGAGAGUAGAGGACGCGAGCAGAGAGCGAUCGAAGGGAUUAGCUAGUCCCAUGGUUCACGACGUCUCUCGCUAAGACCGUCUAGCAUGGUCUUUAGUGGAGGCGAGUCCGGCUUACUCCCACUAAAGCUAGUCCCGUGAAGUAACAAACAUGGGACUGGACUAACUAUUAAUCUAGUCCAGUCCAAUGAGGGCUAGUGAAGGGAAACAAACACCCCCUUAAGGUAACGCAUGAUGUCAUUAACACCUAUCCAGUGUUGUGUGUAGGCGCAUUAUUAUAUCUUGCCAAAAGAUUCAUAGCGAAUGAGAUUUCUAGUCUAGUGCAUUAAGCCAAGUACAAUAAACCUUCGAUUGCACUUAAGUAUGAAACUUUAGGUUCCAAGACCCUUUCAUCCUCAUUUUUAGGACGAAACCAUUCUCAUUUUGCAUCUAGAGUCACAAGUCCUUUUUGGUGUAGUUCAAUUGGUGGACUUGAAUACCAUGUGAACAAUGCUCUAUCUCCAGACCAAUACGGCGUUGAGUUUUCCCAAGAUCUUUCAUCUCAAAUUCCCAUUUUAGGCGCGGAACAGGUUUCUCCCUUGAGCAGUGUUGGAGUUGAAGCAGGUUAAGGUUCCAUCAUAAAAUCAAUUGACAAUAUGAAAAGGAGCCCUUAUAAGCACAUGCAAGAGAUUCAUACUCUCAAUACACUUGCUCACAUGUGGUGAAUUUUUAAGCAUAACACAUGAACAACACAAAUUAAGUGGCAUGGAGAAACGUGUAAACCAUGCAAGAAGGUAAAGUUCCACCAUAACUAAUUGACAAUUUGGAGAGUAACACAACUUCUUAUAAACAAAAUAUUUAUACUCUCGACAGAGCCUCUCGAGCAAUGCUCGAAUUCCUCUUGAGACCCCUCCUAUAUUGCGUGAACUCCCCUUCAAACCCCUUCAUGCAAUUGAAUCUAAAAGUAGAAAAAAGAAACAGUAAAAGCAUUUUACAUGAGUGUUGAUAUUCGCAUUUCAAAAAUUCACGAUGCUUCAUGAAACUCCCUAAGUGUACCUUUAAUUCUCUUUUUUUCACUCCUCAUGGUAAUUAAUGAAAAAAGAAUUAGUAACUAAUCAUGAAUAAAAAGAAUUACUACCAUCCUAAUUACUAAAUUCUAACUCCUAACUCCUAACAAAGAAAUUAUUCACCUCUCCUCUUUCUCUUUCUUCCUACUUAGACCAAGCAACUGCUUCAAUCUCAAACUGGGCACUUCUGUACAACUCUAGCCUCUUUGCAAGCAAUGUACGCCUCUGCAUUACCGCCGGAUCCUCGUCUAGCAACUUAGCCAACUGUCUUGUCUGCAACGAAAAUUAAAUGGUUUCGAAAAUCUUAUUAGUAUAAUUCUAAUUCAACUGAGCUUGGUUUCUUUGUUCUUGUCAAAUCUUUUCGUAAAUUUCACUCUUGUAGGGAACAAUCCUCACCUCCUUUGCACCCAACUCUGCGAAGAAAUGAUCGAGCAAGCAGCGUUUGGCCUCUCGUACUUGACAGUAGAUGAUGGACUUUGGAAUAGCAAUCCUUAAACUCGAACAAACCAUGUUGACAUAGCUUAACACAUUGUGUCCUGUUUGUUUCAAACACAAAAAAACCGUGAUCAUCAAUUCAACCACAUAACCUGAUAAAUCUAAUGACGAAGUGAUGGUAGAAUGAAAUGGUUGUCAAACGGGCCAUGAAUAUGUAUCAUUUUAAAAUUGUGUCUCCUAGUUCUUGUUAAGUGAUUCAAAUCUUGGAUAUGAUUAUAGAGGUAUUUAGAGUUAGAGAGCAACUCACCAACCCGCAGGAGGUAUGCAUCAUUGUAUCUAUCGAAGAGUGAGUGUGUCGGAUUUCCACCCUUGUCAAUAUCUUGAGGAAGCUUGCGGAAAAAGUCAACUGUUAGGUAACCACAUUCCAUAUCUACUAGCUGUAGAGUUGCUCUCUUGCUUUCUUCUUUCAUCCUUUCCAGCGACUCAAAUGCUGCAUUCGCAACUUCUACUCUUAAAGUGGGAUACUGCUUUAGUUCCUACAUAACAAAGAAGAACCAUAAAUUAAGAGAAAAGAUUAGUCAUGUUUAGGGACAAAUAAGGAAUGAUAAGCAAUGUUGACAAAAUGUCCUAGAUUCCUAAUUUACAGACAGAAUUCAUGAAUGCAAGGUAAUAAACUUACCGUAGUCUCGUUGAUAGAUUUUUGAGCCAGAUCCUUCAAUAUGCCAUGAACCUGAAAUCAUGAAGAAAGACAAUUAAGCAAAAUGAUUCGAAGCACUGACACAUUAUACAGGUUUGUAAUGGAAAAAAUGAUGCUAGCACCAGCACUGGAAUUAACAGUUGGAGAAUUAAAACAAACGAAAGAUAGUUAUUGAUUUUCAAGGAUUGUUUAUAUCUUUCAUGAAUGCAUUACAAUUGUUUAGCCGUAUAUAAAGAGAUGAACUCUCCUUGAGUUAUGCCACAACCGGUGGACUCCUAAGAAAAGAGAACAAAUGAUUAGAGACACACUUGAGUGGUUGCUUUACCCCUAACCCUACACACUUGAGUAGAUGCUUUAACCCUACUUAAAGAGAACAAAUGAUUAACCACUUAGGAGACACACUUGAGUGGUUGCUUUACCCCUAACCCUACACACUUGAGUAGAUGCUUUAACCCUACUUCCAAUACUCCCCCUCAAGCUGGAUCCAGAAGAUUUAUGGAUCCAAGCUUGGAAAAAAGUUGUUGAAACUAGUGAGAGGCCAAGGGUUUGGUGAAAAUGUCGGCCAAUUGAUCACAUCUUCUGGUAUAAUGGGUCUGAAUCACUUUUGACUGGACUUGUUCCCGAACAUAAUGACAGUCAACUUCAAUAUGUUUCGUCCUCUCGUGAAACACUGGGUUUGAUGUUAUAUGCAUUGCUGCCUGAUUGUCACAAAAUAAAGACAUGGGGAGAGUUGUAAACACUCAUAAGUCGCUCAAAAGACCCUUUAGCCAUAUCAGCUCACACGCAGUGGAGGCCAUUGCACGAUACUCGGCUUCAGCACUUGAGCGUGCGAUGACAUUUUGUUUUUUGCUCUUCCAUGUGACCAAAUUUCCACCAACAAAUGUACAGUAACCUAUUGUGGACUUACGAUCAAUUGCGUUUCCCGCCCAAUCAACGUCGCAAUAUCCCAUGAGUUGUGUGUUUUCAUUCUUCUUCAUGAUAAUGCCACGACCCACAUACCCUUUUAAGUAGCGUAAUAUCCGCUUAACAAGGUUCAAAUGCUCAAUUGUGGGAGAGUGCAUGAAUUGGCUUACAACACUUACGGAAUAUGUGAUGUCAGGUCUGGUGAUUGUUAGGUAGAUCAGCUUACCAACAAGCCUCUGAUAAUGGCGUAUAUUAGUGAGUGGCGUGCCCUCCAAGCUAGGUUUGAGCUUGCUAUCCAGAGAAGUAAUUGCAGGUUUGGCAUCUCUCAUGUUAACUUCCUUGAGCAAAUCCAGGAUAUACUUUCUUUGAUUUAGAAAUAGUCCCUUGUGAGAAGUUGUCAUCUCUAUGCCAAGGAAAUACUUCAAUACCCCAAGGUCUUUAAUUGCAAACCUUUGUCUGAGUGACUGUUUGAGUUUGAAGAUCUCUUCAGCAUUAUCUCAUGCAAUUAUUAAGUCAUCGACAUAGAUCAACACAACCAAUUUGCCCACAACUCCAAUGCGAACAAAUAAUGAGGAAUCGACAUUGCUUCUUUUGAAACCAACACUUGUGAGAACUGAGCUUAGCUUGCCAUACCAAGCUCGGGGGGAUUGUUUCAAUCCAUAAAUUGAUUUAUGCAAUUUGCACACUAAAUCAUGCUCAUUGCUUUGAGGGUGCCCUGGUGGCAAUUUCAUAUAGACUUCUUCUUCGAGAUCACCAUGUAAGAAUGCAUUCUUCACGUCCAUUUGGUACAUGGAUCAUCCCUUAUUGACAGCCACAGACAAUAGAACCCUAAUUAAGUUCAUUUUCGCAACAGGGCAAACGUUUCUUUGUAAUCUACAUCGAAAGUUUGAGUGAAUCCCCUAGCCACUAACCUUGCUUUAUGUCUCUCAAUUGAGCCAUCUGAAUUGAAUUUGAUCUUAUAAAUCCAUUUAAAACCCACAACCCUUUUUCCUUUUGGAAGUGUGGUUAUACUCCACGUUUUGUGUUGAUCUAGAGCUUUAAGUUUUUCUUGCAUUGCUUCUUUCCACACUUCUUUGUUGUUAGCCUCAUGGAAAUUCUGAGGCUCACUACAACUUGCAAUGUUACUUAGGAAUGCAGCAUGGGAGUGAGUCACCUUUUGGUAGGACACAUAAUUGGAGAUUGGAUGUUUGGGUUUGUAGGUGACGAAGUCUUGAAACCUUAGGGGAGGUUGUCUUGCACGCAUUGGAUUGCAUCGUGGGGCUGUUGUGUGAUUUGUCUCACACUCGUUCACAUCUUGAGCCACACUGUGAGGAUCAUCUUGAUUGUCACCAUCUUCAUGUGUUGUACCAUCAGAGUGAGGGCCUUCAUUGCCACUUUCAGUGAGGGAUGCCUCAGUGUUGACAUGGCUAAGAACUCUAUUUGUUGAAGCAUCAAGGUCGAUUCUUGGUAGAGGAAACACCUCCAACAUACACUCUCCUUGACUUGUUGUUUCAAGUGACUUGCUGUAAAAAGGGUCAGUCUCAUGGAAUCGAACAUCUUUAGACACAAUCAAUUUCCUCAAUUGGGUAUUAUAACACUUAUAUCCCUUUUAUGUAGAAGAAUAGCCAAGGAAAAUGCAUUUAACAGCUCGAGGGUUCAAUUUACCUUGAUGAUGAGGUUGAAUAUGUACAAAGCAAAUACAGCCAAAGACUCUAAGGUGUGAAAGAUCAAUUUUCCUACCUUUCAUGACCUCAAGGGGUGAUUUAAACUCCAAGACUCUGCUAGGUAACCUAUUUAUGAUAUAGGUAGCUGCCAUGACUCCUUGGGACCAAAAUUUCUUUGGUACAUUCAUUUGUAGCAUUAGUGCUCUAGUUUUUUCAAGUAAGUCACAAUUUUUCCUUUCGGCUAUGCCAUUUUGUUGAGGUGUGCCAACACAACUUGUUUGAUGCAUGAUGCCAUAAGUGCUCAAAUAUUGUGUCAUGAUAUGAGAUGUGUAUUCGGUGCCAUUGUCAGACCUUAAAGUUUGAAUUUGAGAAGUGAAAAGGUUUUUAAGAAGAUUAUGAAAAUCCUUAAAAGCUUCCAUAACUUCAUUCUUAGACUUUAAGAGGUACAACCAUGUGGCUCUAGAGAAAUCAUCAACAAAUAUCACAAAAUACUUAUAACCAUCAAAAGAUUCUAAAGUUGGUCCCCAUACAUCCGAAUGGACAAGUUCAAAACACUUACUAGCCUUGGAUAAGGAAGAGUUAAAAGGUAAUCUAGUGGACUUAGACAAGUGACAUGUUUCACAUGAAAUUACAUCCUUCCCUAAGUUUGGAAAUAAAGUUGACAAAAUGGGUGGAGAAGGAUGAGCUAAACGUUGAUGCCACAAUUGGUUAUCUUGGAUAGAGUAGGACUUGGCUUGAAACCCUAUGGGAUUACUCUUCGAUAUGUAAUAGAGACCAUCUAGAUAAAACCCUUCACCAAUCGUCUUCUUGGUUGCACAUUCCUGAAAAACAACAUUGUGAUGGGAGAAUAUGCAAUUUAAGGUAUUUGUGAUUUUUCCCACAGAUAGGAGUUAAAAUGGAAAGGAAGGAACAUAUAAGGCCACCGACUCAAUUUCAUCAGAUAUUAAGUUGAUUUUUCCCUUUCCUAAAACCUUUUCAUUUUCACCAUUUGCAAUUGAAACUUAGGAAGGAUUUAAUAAUUUUCAAACGUAUGAAACUUAGACACAUGGUUGGUCAUAUGGUCUGUGGCACCCGAAUCUACAACCCAAAAAUCAUGCAACAUAUUUAUAUUAAGAGCAGUUUUGAAAGCUUUCAUGAUACCUUGCAUGUCUUCUUGAGGUACGUGUUUCGUGUCAGCCAAGAAACCAGCAAACUUGCCUAGCAAAGCUGUUGGGUUUCCGUCUUCAAUGUUGUCUAUUCGGUCACUUCCAGUCUCUCAUUUCUUUCUUUGAAGAUACAAUGCAAACUCAUUCAUGAGUGCAACUGGAUUAGCUGUGAAGUUCUUGACUAUGUCAGACACAUUUGAAGAGGAGGCAGACACAUGAUUUGCUCGAUGUACAGUACGGUUCACUCUCUGUGAAACCUUGUUGUCCUUCAUGAAAUCAGGCUUUAAUUCUGGAUGUAAAAUCCAACAUGUCUCCUUAACAUGGCCCGUAUAGUUGCAGUGUUGGCACUUCAAGUUUGGAUGCUUCACUUUGUACUUCUUCUCGUUGAUUAGGUAGGCCCUUGCUUCAGAUACAUUGGCCUUUGUACCAAUGUUCAUGACCUUCCUCCUUACUUUCUCACGUUGAAUUGUUGCACAAAUACUGGUGAAGGAAGGAAGUUAAGUGUUCAUGAGUAUGUGGCUUCGUAGGUCUUCAUAUUCUGAGUCGAGACUGGACAGAAGUUGAAAUAUCUUGUCUUCUUCUGCUCUCUUCCGUAGCAAAGCAGCAUCAGUGGUAUGAGGGCGAUAUAUUUCCAACUCAUUCCACAUGCUUUUCAUGCUACCUAAAAGUUAUUCAAAGGGUUUACCUUCUUGUUGCAGGUUGGAGAUGUCCUUUUUUAAUUGGAAAACCCGUGCAGCAUUGUUCUGACUGCCAUACAUUUCCUUGACAGUCUCCCAUAGCUGGAGUGAAAAUUCAGAGUAACUGAAUAUUUCAGCUAGGUUACAUUCCAUGGAAUUUAGGAGCCAUGACAUAACUAGCUGAUCAUUGCUAAGCCAGCAUUCAUAAGCUGGUGAGGAAGCAUCAGGAACUUCGAUGUUUCCAUUUAUGAAUCCUAACUUGGUCCUUCCACCUAGGGCAAGUGAUACAGCCCUCGACCAAGGCAAAUAAUUAAACUCAUUCAACAAGACUAAGCUUAAUCUUUGAUUUGGGUUGAUAUCCACCUCAGGCAUAUUCACGAAGGAAAAAACCAGUGACCUUUCAGCAUCCGACCCAAGAGGAUUGUCUUUAGCCAUUUUUAAGGUUGAACCCGUUCAGAUGGUAGUAAAGCAGAAGCAGGUUAUUUUUCCUGCUCUGAUACCAUAUUGAUUUUCAAGGAUUAUUUAUAUCUUUCAUGAAUGCAUUACAAUUGUUUAGCCGUAUAUAAGGAGAUGAACUCUCCUUGAGUUAUGCCACAACCGGUGGACUCCUAAGAAAAGAGAACAAAUGAUUAGAGACACACUUGAGUGGUUGCUUUACCCCUAACCCAACACACUUGAGUAGAUGCUUUAACCCUACUUAAAGAGAACAAAUGAUUAACCACUUAGGAGACACACUUGAGUGGUUGCUUUACCCCUAACCCUACACACUUGAGUAGAUGCUUUAACCCUACUUCCAAUAAUAGUGCCGAAUGCAAAUAUAAAAUUCAACAUUUCAUAUUAUUAACACAUUCGUGCGCCCAUCACAUGCUGCAAAGGAAGCAUUUUUGCCUCAGGUAUGAAAGUCUUUUGGCCACAUGGAAACUAAGACAAUAGCUUACUUGUGCAGUAUCAGUUUUAUAUGGAGAAAAACAUUCCCAUGGUUUAAUUGCCUAAGGAGUUACAUGCGAAGAUAUGUACACAUACCGCAUCAACAGCCAUCUCUGCAGGACCUCUGAUGCAAAUCAAGGAAGAUUCAAUAAGGCGACGGUAACCUUGUUCAGGAGCAAUUAGAUGAGGCUGGUAUCCAUCUGCUUCAGUAAUUAGCUUUCGGAUGUUAUCCAUAGAAAGAUACCUGUCAAACUGCAACCGUUUCAAAGCAGCUGGAAAUUGAUUGUCAAACACUCCAUAAACUUUCUCACCACCAGAGCGCCUGGAGAAAUUGAAAAUUAUCAUAAAUCCCAAGGUUGAAUAAGGAAACCAGAAUGAGAUGAAAACAAACUUUCCAAUUAACUUCAAAAAAGACAAUGAUAGCACAAUACAUACACGCCAUCCAGAUGUUCUUUAAAUAUCUGAUCGAAAGUACGAGAGAUUUCCAUGAUCACAUAUAAUUUUCCCUGCUUGUUAAAAAACGAUCGAACUGACAUUAGCAAUGCUUAUUGUAAUACAUACAAUACAACAAUAUAGACCACCCAAGAAAACUUUGCUAGGUAUACAUUAUUUAUUAUGGAAAAAAGGAAAGGAUAUGACAAAGAACUAUUUAUAUGUAUAUCCUUACUCCAGCAUCAGCAGCAAUAGGCUUCCCGAGUCGGCUUAGUUCUGCCUCUAGUUCACCAAUAGUUUUGCUGACAAGAGACUGAAGGCCUGGAAUUCGAGACUUGAUGACAACUUCUAGAUGCUGAAAGUUUGAUUACGUUAAGUGAUAGGUAAGAAGUUCAUAAGUAAAAAAAAAAAAAAAACACUGACCACCAUUGCAAAUGUAUCAUUAAAAGGAAGCAGACUGGAUCUCUUAAGUAUGCUUCUCUAACUUUAUAAUCUAUAAGAGCAAAUAAUUGUGUCUGAAAGUGCAACGACAACUGAACAUAUAAAAUGCAAUUAGGAUAACAAACCUGCAUACCUUAGAAAGCACCCUGCCUAAAUGCUCAGAGCCCAUCCUGUUUGCAAGAUGCCUGUACUCUGGGCUACCAGAAAAAUAUUCACGCUCUCGACGCCUAGCAGCAAUCAUAUCAACACUCUUGUUUAUAUCAGCUUGGGAGCGAUUGACAAUGCCAAUCCAGGGGAACUGUAGCUUAUAUGAUCUUCCUUCCAAAAUCUGAAAAGUAAAAGUAAAAUAAAACCCUAGAAACUGGAAACUCUCAUGUAGGCAGCCAUAAUGAUACUGUAAUGUGACUUUUGAGUACAAAACAGAUCGUGAAAACAUGUGUGCAGCAUUGAUGAUCUCAGAGCACCACCCUUACAAUUUAAUCAUAACAUUAGGUUUCACAGACCUAAAACAAGGGGUCCUAAAACAAGACAAUAAAAUGUCACCAAGCAGGUAAACUGCUUUGAUUCCACACUUAAAAGCGAACACGUUUGCUCUCUUCUUUUUUAUCUUCCUUUUUCCUCUUUUGGCUAUGAAUUCAGAAGUGACUUACAUCAACUGCAUUUGUACCCUGGUCCAUAAGAUCAAUCUUCGUCAGAACUCCAAAUGUCCUCUCCCCUGAGAAAUGGAACCAAAUUUAAAAUCAAUGUGUGUAAAUGGAAAAUACUCCUAAUUAGUGAAAUCUGCCACUUUUGAAUUGACAUAUGUUUUGGUCAUCCGAAGACGAGAGCAUUUCUCAAAACCAGAGGAAACAAAACUUAAACAUAUGAAAUCUUGAUAUCCUCCUUUCACCUCACUGCUACAAAUUAAAACUCAUCUUCUUAUCUUUUUCGUUCGUUUUCACAUCUUCACCCUUCCUGUUUACAACUUGUCAAAUUUGUUCACCUGCUCAAUCUUAUUACUCUUUUUUUUUUUUUAAUUUUUGGAAUUAAGUAGGCUUAUUAAUCAUCCCCACCAUGUAGCAAUCUUACCUUUAGGAUCGACUUCACGAGAGAUCUUAAUUGCAUCAGAAGUAGCAAGAUCUUGGUUGGCAGGGGAAAUAGCCAAAAUAAUACAGUUGGGCUGGCAAGAAAAGGCAUAUUAUUCCAAUAAAUUAAGCAUAUUUCAUGAGAUGAAACAUCUCAUAGAAACACAAAACACAAGUCUCAUAAUCUAAUAGCUCAUAAAUGUUCUUAACAACACAGUAAGAAGAUUACUUUCUCAAUGAAGGACCUAACCAUAUCCUCAAUGUCCUUCACUGUGCUCUCUGCUUGACCAUCUGCAAGACCACAAAAAUCGACACAAUGUCAACUUACAUAAGGUGCCAACUUCCAAGGGAAUUUAUCCGACCCUACUUGAAAAUUCUUAAAGGAGUUUAACUCACCAACAGCGACUUUCGUGAGCCCAGGAAGAUCGAUCAAUGUCAAGUUCACAACUGCCAAGAUCAAACAAAUAAUAAAGAUAAAUAGAACAGAUUUUAUGAGCUCCAGAGUAAAAAUUUAGUGAAAGAGAACUAAAACGACUAGAAAAAGCUUUGUGAGCUCCAGAGUAAGUAACCUCUCUUUCUUUCGUUUCUUUCUUAACAUUUAUCUUUAAAUUUAUUAUGAGCGAUCAAACCGAUCAGCUACAUUCUGAUUUUUGUGAAUGUAAAAUCCAACAAUUCAAAGUUUUCGACAAUUCUAUCUCACCGUUAGGGGAGAAGAUACUAAGAUGGAUGGGAACGGUAGAAAUUGCCUUCGAGCGGCCGGUCUCUCUGUCGGUUUCAUCAGAUAUCUCCUGUCUCACAGCAGCUACACAUACACAAAGAAACAAGAUCAACGUUUGCAAUGCAGGUCAAGAAACCGAAACAAUUUGCAGGAACAACGAAGAAGAAGAAGGAAAUUACCAAAAUCGGUGAACCGCUUCCUGGGGAGGUGCAUAAACUCAGCGUAUUCUCUUCCUUCGUCGAUCUUAUGCAGCUGCAAAACCAGAGGACGCCGCGUAACAAUUCCUGCACGCAACGUGUUCGAAUCAAAACCCGAACCCGAAAACCAACGCGUUCACGUAAGAAUCCAAAAAAGACGCGGUUUCAUGCAUUACCUGAACCGCGAGGAAGAAAGUCCUUGCCGACGACGCUCUCCAACACGGAAGACUUGCCGGAGCUCUGUCGAAGCAAGAAAGGAAACGAGAAACGAGAAACUCGAUGAGAUUUAAUUCAAGAAAGCGUGAAGUUUGAGAGGGAGAUAUUAGAAAUGAGAGACCUGGCCGCCAACGACGGCGAUGGCGGGCAAGGAGUCCCAGAGAGUGGGCAUGGCGCCCUCCUCGCCGUGGUCGCCGAGGGCUGUGCAAGCCCGCUGUAUUUUGUUCACCAGCGAUAUCAAACUCUCCAUCGGACGGACGUUUCGGAUCGCUGAGUCGAGUCGUUUCGAGGAUCGGUCGGAGGUGGCGAGCGUAGAGAGAGAGAAAUAACAGAAUUUUGGAGGGUAGGAAACGACGGGAAAUGGAAUACCGGGUCGUUGGUGCGAAAAUUUCUGAUGCGUCCAAAGUUUGAAAAUUGGGCAAGUUUUAGAUUAAAAGCCCAAAGAGAUGCGUGGACCGAUUCUACCGGAUCUAAACCUUUUUAUGGGCUUUAAACGAAUUCAUUUUUUAAGCCCAACUCCUAACCAUAUCAUAAACCGCCUGGCAAAAUUUGGUUUUCCCAUAUUCAAUGUCCUAUUCAAAUUUUACAGUCUAGCGAUAUUUCUUUUUUAUUUGUACAUGAUAGGUUUUAUGAGUUUAGUUUCAAUUUUAUUUGUGAUCUCUUCCCUUAGUGUAAAUAUAUUGUAGUAUAAAUAUAUUAUAAUGUCGAGUGUAUAAGUGCUUGUUGGAACCAAAUUUGCGCAUUGUCGUAGACAGAGAAGCUAGGCAAAUCCAACUACCUGAAAAAGAACAAACAACCACAAUUAACCUAAGGUACCAAUGGGGUACUAGUCAAAGGCUCCCUAGGAUUAGAUAUUGUGUUCUUGCAAGAGUAUGAUUACUUGUAGUGCACUUCAAUCCAUAAAUUGUACAAAUCUCGAAGAAUAUAGGAAACCCAUAUGACCCCUAAUCGAAUCAGAUUUUCAUGUCUUGUGAAACAAGAAUAGGCAAUCUUAGCGAAGUAGGACUUCGCCUACCUUUACGAAGUAUAGCAAGAUAUGGUGGCAUCGUUGGACUGUUUGAGCAGCUCAAUCCGAUUGGAACUAUAAGGUGUGUUGAUGCACAAAACCGGGGUGGUCUUGGAACAACGUAAAUCCGACCGUGAAUCUGCACAAACGCUCAAGAACACGAAGAACACAAAGAACACAAGGAUUUUAUCGUGGUUCACCCCAAUGUUUGGGCUACGUCCACACUGUAGUUGAUUCUGUUUCUCUGUAAGUGUAUGGAUACAAGUGUUUGGGGGAAGUCCCUAGAGAAAGAAGAGAAGGGAGAGGAGAGCCUCGGUGGUGUGAGGUCUCUCCUGAAUGUAAUGAGAGCUUCUCUUAGCCUUCUUAGGCUUGGCUCUUUUGCCCUCUUAGAAUGAGGGGAGGAGUCCCCUUUUAUAGAAUAAGGGGCUCCUCCUCUUUUACAAAGUAUGGACUUUAGUGUGAGGCCCAAAUACAAGGCCCAAGGCCCAAAUAUACGAGGCCCUAAAUAUGGUAUAAACAAGGUGCAUGACCAAUCCCAAUCUGUCUUACUUCGGCCCUAAAAAAUCAUGGUCCCACAUUGCUCUCUAUCACUAAAGCCACAUGUUCUAAGCUUGAACCCGACUUUAGUUGAUUAAAUAAGAACUCCACUUCUUUAUUAAGAAAGGAUAACACAUUUUCUUGUCCAUCCACAUGUGAUUAACGUAUUGUUAUUAUAGAAAUGUCAUAAUUAUAACCAUUUAUGUUUAAUUCUCUGCAAGAAAAAUCAAUCAAGUUUGAGAUUGUUUAAUUAUUUACAUAUAUUAAAUAAUUGAAUGUUUAAUUAUUUACAUAUAUUAAAUAAUUGAAUGGUUCAUCCUCAAAAUUUACUAGUUGCAAAAACUGUGAUUUAUACAAAAGACUAGUAAUUUCCAGUUUGAUUAAGUUUCGUUUGCAAAAGCAAUCCUUUAAUAAUAAUAAUAGAAAAACAAUCUUAAUUCGGCCAUUUUUAAUGCAGUGCCAAAUAAGUUAAUAACCCAAAAUGUCCUCUUUUUAUCCUAAACUCAUCCUAACCAGGAAUCUCCAAUAAAAUUCCAAUGUCAAUAUACUUAACGGGCUUGCUAAAUGUAGCCUCCUUUGUAGGUACGGGCCAACGUUGUGCUUGGGCUCCACCUUGUGCAAACUGGUUGAGCUGAUGCGCUGACUCUACUUUUGUGUGACGUAGUACAUCAAAUAUCAAAUACAAAAUGGUAUAAUACAAAUGAUUAAAAAAUUUGUUUAAGCAUCUAAUUACUUGGAUUAUGAUUCUUAAUGUACCAAUUGUAUUCCUGACAUACUGACAAAAUGGCCUUAGAAUUGAGUGAACAAAAGUAUUGUGCAAGUUCAAAUUCUGGUCCCAUUACCCGUUAGUGAGAGUGGACAGGACGUAAGUGCGGGAACUUCCGUGUAUCAAUUUCCAAAAAAGUCCAAAAUAAAAAACUAAGAGAAAAAAGGUAAUCAAGACUCUCUCUAGCAUAUUCCACCUCGUGCAAACUGAUUGGGUUGGUGUGCUAGCUCUAUUUUAAUAUGACGUAGUACAUUAAAUAUCAUAUGCAAAAUGUUAUAAUACAAUUGAUUAAAAAAUUUGUUUAAACAUCUAAUUACUUGGAUUAAGAUUUCUAAUGUACCGAUUGUAUUCCCGACGUAUUGACAAAAUGGCUUUAGAAUUGAGUGAACAACAGUAUUGUGCAAGUUCAAAUUCUGGUCCCAUUACCCGUUAGUGAGAGUGGACAGGACGUAAGUGCGAGAACAUUCAUGUAUCAAUUUCCCAAAAAGUCCAAAAUCAUAAACUGAGAGAAAAAAGGUCCUCAGACUCUCUAGCAUAUUCCUUCCUCAUUUGGAUGUCCAACGUAAAAUCAACCCAUACGCCUUCUUCUCCGCCACAAAUUCUCGUCCCAUAUAAAUUCACCAUUCCUUCGCUACUCCCAGACUCUGCUUCCACCAGGACCGCCACCUUCUCACACCUUCUCACAUCCUCUCUCUCUCUCUCUAUGAAAUGCUGACUGAAACCCAAAUCCUCUCAUGGACUCAGUUGUAACGAAACACUCACUCACUUCCUUUAAUCUCAGCCCCUUUCAAUCCACCACCGCCGCAGCAACCUCCUCCUUCUCCUUCUUCAGAUUCUCUCACUCCAGAAAACUCAGAACUUCAACGUCCUCAAUCUCCUGCUCCCACAGACCGCCUUCCAAUCCAAAAUACCCAAAACCCGGAUCGGAUUCUCAUAAUUUCCCCCUAAAUCCCCUCUGGGUUUUGGUCCCGGUCCUCCAAAGCAUCGGAGUCUUGGCCUCCUCACGAACCCAGAAGUGGGUUUCUUUCCUACAGGCUUACGGAGGGUCAGAGAGUUUCGUGGAAGCAAAAAGCAAUGACUUUUUACACAAUAGCGGGAUUGGGGUGGCGUUGCUGAGCGUGACGACCAAUGCCAAGGUGAAAAUUAGUCCUUUCGUGGCGCAAUUGGCUGCGAAUCCGACCUUUGUUUCGGGGCUUUUCGCAUGGUUUAUGGCGCAGUCAAUGAAGGUUUUGCUGAACUUCUUUGUGGAGAGGAAGUGGGAUUUCAGAAUAUUGUAUUCCUCCGGAGGUAUGCCGUCGUCGCACUCGGCGUUGUGCACGGCAUUGACGACGUCUGUGGCGCUCUGUCACGGGGUUGCGGACUCGCUUUUUCCGGUUAGUUUGGGGUUCAGUCUCAUUGUUAUGUAUGAUGCUAUUGGUGUUCGACGGCAUGCUGGUAUGCAAGCAGAGGUAAGCAGUAAAUUUCCGUUCUUUCAAUUUUUGUUCAAGUGUUGUGGAUGUAGUUUUUUAUUUUUUGCAUAUAUCUGUAAUUUAUUUGAGAUGUUAUUGGUUUCAAGAGGUGCUUUUGGUAUGAUUGAUUAGUGUAAUAUUGCAUAUUGGUAGGAAGGAGUUAUGGAACUUCUAGUGGUCCCAAUGGAUGAGGUGAGUACAAUGAAGUUAAUGAAAUAUAAUUACAAAUUAGGAGCUAAUAUUUUACCGAGGAUUAAGGGUGACUAGAAUCUAGAUCAUACAGUUGAAUGUGAUUAUCGAGUAUGGAGGUUUAAAGUUAAUCAAUUAAGACGUUGGUGUGGUUGGCCCUUAGUUGGAUAGGAUCGGGGAUGACCGUGGUUUUAGAUUAUUGGGGUUUUAGAGUUAAUGAGGUUGCUGAUAGGUAGUUUUGAAGCAAUCAAUCUAUGUGAACAAUUCAUGAAGCGCAGUGCCAAAGCACAAUGCAACAUCCUUCCUCUUUUUUGUUUCACGUUCGAGUUACAGUCCUCCUGCAAUGUAUUCACAAGUUCAGCAAGAUUUAAUAGUUUCUUCUCUGCCUGGCCCGUUGAGUGUGCAAUGUGUGUGAAUACCACGCUUUGAUCAUAUGUAAACAACGGAAUAUGGGCAUAUUGUGAGAAUUUUUCGCAGCUCCCAGUUGAACCUAAAAAUUAUUUGAAAGCUGAAACAAUAUAGAUAGAAAAUUUGAAGUUUUGGGUUUUACUUCCGGCGAAGUUUAUGUUGGGGAGUGUAUGUAGCUUUAGGUCAGGUCCAAUAACUAGGAAACCUUCAGUUUUUUUACUUCUCAUGGAACUGAAAGAGAAAUUUAAGGCAGUAUUAAUAUCUAUAGUAUGUAUGAAUGAGGGGACAAUCCUUUGUAAUCUCGAGCAAUCUCAUUUUAGUCUUCUUUGAACCCUUCAAUAUGUUUUUCGCCUGAGAACCCUGUGUGCAUAUAUGUUGGGCUCUGAUAGUUAUUUGACUUCCUGCUGCCGUGUUGUAUACAUUUUCAUAUAUAUUUUUAUUUCUUUUGACACAGGUCCUUAACAUAGUCGUUGAGUACUUGUUCAAGGGGCAUCCCAUCAGCCAGAAAAAGCUCAAGGAACUCCUUGGCCACACUCCCUCCCAGGUUAUUGGUGGAGCUCUCCUCGGCAUUUUGGUUGCUUGCGUUUGUUGUCAGGGCAGCUUGGUUGCCUCCUGAACUGACCUUGCAGGUAAUUUCAGUCGGAUUUUUGUUGACACACAACAUUCUGGUGUUGACAUGGCCAGAUAAGUCAUUGUACUUUAAUUCUUCAUUCAAAACCAGAGAGACAUUGGUUCAAAAAGUUGAUAGCAAUGUUAUUUUAUCCCUCGCAAAACCGAUCCCCGGCCCUCACUGACUAUGGACAAAUUUGAGAAAUGUAUUCACAGGGCCGGAAAUUUGUUGUAAGAUGUUUCAGGAUUCCCAAGAAGUUGGCCUGAAAUUUGGCUUGAAAGGGGACUGCUGUAACUCUGUAAACAAUCUGUGUAUGAUUCUGUGAAUAGUUGACGACCCUGGCCUUGUCUCCAUAGAAGAAGCUGCAAGAUUAUUUCAUUUUACCUUUCAACAUUAUUUCAUUUUACCUUUCAACCAACACGGCUGACAUUUUGUUCAUCUUUGCGAAAAAUGGAUCAAAGUAGUAAUUAAUCAAGCAUUUGAUUUUAUUUCGUUCGAGCUAUAGCUAGACUUGUUUGAGUUAGGUCUUUUUCUUUAACUUACUGCAUCUCGAAUUUAAGAGCAGUUCCAGUGUGGGAACCCUCCCCCCAUGCUAUUCACUAUUUAAUUCAUCUAGUAAACAAUAACUGCCCUUAAUGAACAGUAAUUACCUUUUGCAUCUCUAUCCCUACACUUAAAUAGUUCUGGCGAUAAGUAAAUAAAAUAAUAGUAUUUUUUGCAACUUGCUCACAUCACUCACGUCACUUCCUCUCUUUCCACUCAUCCUUCUCACUUCUCUCCAUUUUUUCUAAAGUUCCUCUCUCUCUCUCUCUAAGCUGUCGACACUCUCACUCUCUCUAGAGCUCCGAGAGCUCUCACACACUUUCCUCUUCAAAAAUUAAACAAAUCAAACUCCAAAACCAUGAAACCUUAAUCUCUGGGACUAAAAGAUCCUAGCUAUACGGUUGCAUGCGUCAUCGGACCAUCACGGUGUAAACUGUCAUUGAAGCCGAGAGCUUCAAGAUUUAAAACUCGAACACAGGUGAGGUUCUCUAUGAAAAUCUUGUUUCAUUAUGUCUUAAUGUUGUUUGGGACAAGAUUUGUGGUGUUUUUCCAGUUCGAAACCAAAGGUUUAACCCCUUGCAAUUUCUUUGAAACCUUGCCCAGUUUUUGGUCACCUCCUCGGAGCACACUCCAGCAAGUUUGUGGGUUAUGGAGCUCUUGCUCAAUUCGGCAAGGCGGUGGUGGUCACGAGGCGAAGGGAUUGGGAAGAGUCGUCAUCACUGUCGUCCAUCCACCGUGAGACGACGACGUCGUUCAAGAACCAUGAAGGUUGAGAAAGAGCAAAGGAAAUCUCGUCCACCACGUGGCUGACGUUGCCGUCGCCCUGACGUCAAUCCACGUCAGACUGCAUUUAGGCGCUUGAGCUGGCACGAAUCGACAUGUCUUCUCAGGCUGUCUUGCCAGCCAACGCUGGGCUUCCUCCCUCAGGCAAUCAAGCCCCAUUCCGCAGCCUGUCCCUUGAGCAUGAGCUCCCGCUGGAGCUGUUCUAAACACUCACCUAUCUUCUUAUUACAACUCAGAGUGUAACAAUAAUAGUAUUGCUUAUCAUAAGCAUCACGAAAGAGCUCAUGAGUGAUGGAAGUGUAAAUUCUUGGAACAUAAGAUAUCAAAUAACUUGAGAGUUGGGUAUUAUUUAUAUAUAAUUUUAAAUUUUAAAUUGAUUUCUGACCGUACGAUGUACGAUGAACGGACAUAAUUUAUGGAUCCUUGGAAUCCUCAUAAAGAGGAUCCGGAGAAGAUCCAUAUCCUUUUUUAUCCUUUAGAGAAAUGCUAAAGAAAUUUUCUCAACAUUGGGACUCUCUCCCUUCUUAUACUUUUGAUACAAUAUUUUAUAUUAUUAGCAUAGAAAGUUAACAUAAAACGGUGAAGUGAUAGAGAUCCUGAAGAGUCCCUUUGUUAGAGUCUCCUUGGCAUUUCUCUUUUCUUUAUAUUUUUAUAAUGAGGAAGCCGUGAUCGACAGGUGUAUAACGUUGACCUUCGCAUUUAGCUAACACGAGUUUGCUUACUGUUUUCUUAGGUCAUCACCAACCGAAGGAUCCAGAAGGUCAGAGGACAGAAAAUAGCCCGAAAACCGUCUCCAACCGAGGAUUAGUAAGAAAUAUGACUAUACAUUGUUCAUUAAAAUAUUAAUUUAUUAAAGGACCGGAGGGCUCUUCAGUUGGAGAUGGCUUACAACCUUAGACUGAAUCGAACAAGAAACCUAUAAUUGUUUGUUCGUCUCCAUCUUUGUCUCUUAAUCCAUACGAAUUGAAGAACCCUACAGAUACUUUCUCCAAGUCAAAUUACGGGAAAAUAAAAACCAAAGAUUGAAAUUCAGAAACUCGCAGGAAGAAGGAAAACAAGAAGAAGAGGAAGAAGAGGAAGUUCCAUUAUUUUAAAGAAAAACUAAUGAAAAAACCUUGAAAACUUUGAGUUUUAACUGACAAAAUAAAAGGUAAAGUGAAUAGUACCAUGAUUGACUUUUUAAUGUAAAAAUGUGGUUUUUUGUUAGAAUGAACAAUACAAGUGUUUUUCGUUAAAAUUCCUUUAUUUUAAUGGGCACCUCCAUCUCAAAGAAAAGGAGAGCAAAAGCCGGCCAAAGUGCCAGAUCGGGAUCAUCUGGUUUGGACGAGCAUCAUGCUGUUCUUGCUUCCCAAACCCCAUGUGAGUAUAAUUUAAGAAACGCCUGAUAACCAUUUUAGUUUUUCAUUUUUACUUUCUUUUUUUUAAUUGAAAACCAAAAUCCAAAAGCUUUUUUUUUUUUUUUAGUUAUAAAUUUACGUAAUUAAAGUUGGUAACUAAAUAAGUUUUCAGAUUGAAAAUAUAUUGGGUUGAUUUUGUUAUAAUUAAGUUUUUUUUUUUUUUUUUUUUUUUUUUUUUUUUUUUUUUAAAGGACUUGUUAUAAUUAAGUUUGAUAAUCUGAUGUUGUACUGAUGUUUUGGGAAAUGGCAGUUUCUGAGGGUGAGGUGGAGUCCUUGUAUGAGCUGUAAAGAAACUGAGCAGUUCUGUAGUUAAAGACGGGCUCAUACACAAGGUCUGUCUGUUUCCCUCUUUUUUCUUCAGAAUUUGAAGUAUUUGUUUACUAAUAUUUUAUUUUACUUUGAAUUAAUUCUAAAGAAUAAUUUUGAAAAUUUGACUUUUUUUUAAGAAAAACUAAUGAAAAUGAUUUCAAAACUUUGAAUUUUAACGAUAAGGACAAAAUAAAGGGUAAAAUGAAUAGUACAAUGAUUGACUUUUUAGUAUAAAAAUGUGAUUUUUCGUUAAAAUGAACAGUAUCAUAAUCUUUUCUUUAAAAUUACCUUUUUUGACUGCUUUUAUAAUUUGAUGCUUAUUAUGAACAGGAAGAGCUCCAGCUUGCCCUUUUCCAAAAUCACAAAAAAGGAACCUCUUUUUAGCGGUAAAUAUGUGGUCUUAAAUUAAUUACCAUUAAUAUUGUUUUUUCACUUUCUUAAGAUGCAUGAUUUUGUUAUUAUAUUAAAUUUAUUAAUUGAAUGGAAAUUAGAAGUGAAGCCUUUUGGUAUAAAGAUAUAUCUACUUAAAUGAAGUGUUACAACUUUUGACUCGUCAUGAAUAAUUACAUACUUUCCAAAGAGGUAUCUCACAUUCUAUAAAAUAGGGAAGCCCCUAUAAUCAUUAAGAUAACUUUUCAUUGUUAACAUAAUCAUACAUAGAGUGCACUAAAUAUUAGAGAGUCUUAUUGAGUCCAUAUGAGAGAGUUUUCAAAUCAAUCGUGGUUCAUAGAGCCUUAUGAUUUGGAGUGCUACUAUUACAAAGACAGAGUCGUUGUAUCUUGGGAGAUAUGUGCCGAUCAACCAUAAGCACCGUCGUGGGACGUAAACUUAUCUUAAGGAUAAAGUGUCCAACACUUGUCCCGACCAUAUUUUCUAGGUUUUUCUAAUCCAUUAUAUCAUGUUUAUUUAAUAUUAGUUACUCAUGUGCAUUUAUUAUUGUGAUAUAUAAUUGCAUGAAUUAUUUCUUGAUUUUCUAUGUAAUUUAUUAUAGCAACUAGACCCCAAUUUUUCCAACAGUAUUUGUUUAUACCAUACUUAGGGCCUCCGUAUUUAGAUCUCGUAUAAAUACUCGGGGGACUUAAAUGUAAUUAUAUAAUAGAGAAAUGGGCAAAUAUAUAAUAAGUGAUGAGCCUUUAUUCUAUAAAAGGACUCAUCACCUUCCUCAUUAAGAGAGGCCAUUUCUUAAGCCUUCUCACCCCUCUCACAUCCCCUCAUAUUCAGAGGUUCUCUUCCUCACCUCUCAGAUAAAUAUAAUAAUCAAUGUGGACGUAGCCCAAACAUUGGGGUGAACCACGAUACAUCUUGUGUUAUUUACAUUACUUUCAGAUUCAUGGUCGGAUUUACGUUGUUCCAAGACCUCCGGUUUUGUGCAUCAACAUUUGGUGCCGUCUGUGGGAACCGAUACGAAAAGUUGUGUCGGUUCUCUCUCAUUUUUUCACCUCCACCGUGAAUCUGCAAAAACCCAGGAAACCAAAUACUCUCUCUCUCUGGAAAUCCAAAAAGCAACAAACUUUGUGUGCGAGUGCAACUCGGGUGAGUCAGUGACCGAGUCAUGAGGACUUUGUCAAGUCCGAGUUUGAGGGUGGUGGUAGAAAAAAGUGGGUGGGCAGAGAAAAUGAAUGAACGCGGCGUCAUCUUCCUUCCGUGAUUAGACCGAUCAUUUGCCUCUCGUCAAAAACCCAGCACACCAGAAGCUGAGCUGCUAAUGCAGCAUACGUAAAUGUAUGAACGCGACGUCAUCCUCCUCGCCUCAAAAGCCCAUGGGCCCGAGACCAAGCACUCAUCCUCCUCAUUCUCCGCCAAUCAAGGGCUUCGACUUGAACAACUUUGUUUACGAAGCUAGGGUUUGUUGUAGUAUUAACGACAACUACAAGAAACGCAGCUUUGCGCAAGCUUUUAAUGACAGCGAGCAUGACAAGACUAGUUCUACUACUAGUGCAACGGCCGUGCCUCGAACGCCACCUUUGUUGCUUAGGAACAAGCAACCUAACAGUAACAGUGAAGAGGAAUAGGACGACAACAACCCUAAUAAAACAACAACAACAACACCGCAGCCUCUCCUUCUGCUCUUUCGUCUUCUUCCUCCCAUGAAAAUGGCAUAGCCACCCACAAACGAAAAAGAAGACUUGUAGGCACACCGGAUCCGAAUGCAGAAGUGGUGUCUCUGUCCCCCAAGACCCUACUCGAUCCGAAUGCCAGAAACGAAGACCUCCACUAUGAAGUUCGAAACGGUGAGGCCGUGGAGAAGGUCUCACCCGUGACCCUUAUCACUGUGAUGGAGUGCCAUCCUCGUCUUUCGAUCAAGGCACCCAAUGACGAAGAUGCCAUCAAGUUCUAUGUGGCCGUCCUGGGCGCCGUGGAGCUUAAGCAUGAAACUGAUCUCAAGCAAGAGGCUGACUAGGAGCGUCCGUACAUCUACAAUGCGAAGCUCAAGCUUGGGUCCUUCACCUUCCUUGUGACUGAGUCGGCCUCGAUGGUCGACUCCGGCGACGGCGAAGUUCUAGCUGACGGUGGUUUUAAGCAAGGAGUCAUAUGGAAAUGGAGAGGCUUUCCGCUAAAAAAAAUCACUUUUUCUCGCCUUUAAGGAUGCUGGGGGCUUUGAGGCUUUAGUCACUGGGAAGACAACAGACAUGGAUCAGAUUGAUGUGAAUGAGAGGAUAACUGCUUUGGAGCGGAUCAAUCCAACACCAUGUCCUACAACCUACCCAGGUCGCCUUUUUUGGAAGGACAAUGGAAUUUCGAGUGGUUUGGAUCUGGAAGCCCAGGUCUUUUUGCUGCCAGAUUUUUGUUUGAGAGGCUUCCUUCAACUUUGGCUAGUUUGAGAAAAAUGCAGGUGGUCAUCAAGGAUGAGAAUGCAAUGAUUACGGCAAAAUUGAAAGUGUUGAACUCGUGUAUGUUUCAGGCAAGUUGGUCGUGUUUGCAUCAGAACCUUGGAUUGCAUGUGCAAUUUGUUUAGGUACUACAUCACAAGACCAGCCGGUAGAUCUGUGUAAACCAAAGUCUGCAACUUUUUCCAUCCUUUUUCCUGGAAACUUAGGAAAAGUAGCAAUUUUAGCUGUGGACAGCAACGCAUGGUUGCUUUCUACUUUGGUGCCAAAUUCGGUUUUGACAAGACUGAAAGCGCAGUGAAUAGAAACAAAAGCAGAAAGCAAAAAAAAAAAAAAAAGAGAAAAGAAGACAGAAACAAAAGCAAAAGCAAAGCAAAAGGAGAGAAGAGAAUAAAAUUUGAAAGAUUGGGUUUUUUACUGAGCACAUGCAUGAUAGCAGCACAGAGACAGAUACAGAGAGAUGUGUGGUGGAAAAGUAAAAGCAGAAAGCAAAAGUAAGGAAUAAACACCUUACCAGAAUGAUGUGAUUUACUUUUCUUAUUUUUAUGAUGUAUUUUUCCUAUCUUUCGGAAACGUCUGUAUAAACCCCAUCAGAGGGUAAUAGUAAUAAAUAAAUAAAAACGACAAAGCCCAAAAUAAAUGGGCUGGAAUGUUGUGUAGAGGGCGAAAGCCUAUAAGCCCAAAAUAGCUUCAACCAGGCGAUCAAAAGUACACCCAGUACUCCAUAAUUAUUCGACAACCUGCCGCUAUUACCACCAACCAAGUGAUCAAAAGUACGCCAGUACUCCAAAAUUAUUCGGCAACUUGCCACUAUUACCACCAACCAGGUGAUCAAAAGUACGCCCAAUACUUCAAAUUAUACAUGAGCAGUACUCAUGUCAAUCAUACAUAAACAUUCAUGAGCAUCACUCAUGUCAACAUUCAUGAGCAUCACUCAUGUCAAUCAACGUAAACAUUCAUGAGCAUCACUCAUGUCAAUCAGCUUCAAAAGCUUCAUUUACAGAGCUACAGCUUCAAAAGCUUCAUUUACAAAAGCUCUAACUUCAAAAGCUUCAUUUACAGAGCUACAGCUUCAAAAACUUCAUUCACAAAAGCUCCAGCUUCAAAAGCUUCAUUUACAGAGCUCCAGCUUCAAAAACUUCAUUUACAGAGCUCCAGAUUCAAAGCUUCACUUGCAAAGCUUCACCUACAAAGCUUCAAUACAGGGUAUACAAAUACCGCCUCCGAACAAAUCGCUACUUCGGCCCAUACAUGGAUUCAAUUUGAAGUUUCCAGCCAACAGAUUCUAUUGACCAAAGACUUGAGGGACUACACUAUACACCAUAUAUUGGGCCUCAACUGGGCCUCAUAAAAAAUACUUGGGGAACUCUGACUUAGUUUGGGAGUGAGGUGCUUAAAAAAAAAGCACCCAUGAAAAAAAGCUGUGAGGGUUUUAGGUGUUUGGUAAACUGAAAAAAAAAAGGCUUAUUUUGGAAGCUGCUGUGAGAAUAAGCUGAAAUCAAAGGAAAAAGCUGAAGCUGCUAUUUGCAGCUUUGGAAAACUGGUUUUUUUUCAAAGCACACGGAGCUACAGUGCUUCUUUAAUGAAAAGACCCACUAUUAGACUGUUUUUUUUUUCCAAAAGCACUUUUACAAAAAAGUUUACCAAACACUCUGCUGAUUUAUUUCACAGCCGCUUAUUCUCACAGCACAGCCGCUUAUUCUCAUAGCAGUUUUUUUUCAAAGCACAGCAAUACCAAACCAGCCCUCUAGCUCAUCACUUAUGUAUUGAGGAACAAGCUCUUAUUCUAUAAAAGAGACUCCCUCACUUUCAUUAGAGAGCACCCAUUAUUCAUGUACUAAGGAGCGAACCCUUAUUUUAUAAAAAUGACUCCCUCACCUUCAUUAGAGAUCAACGCCGCAAGGAUCACUCCUAACCCAUCACUUAUGUAUUGGGGAGCGAGCCCUUAUUCUAUAAAAGGGACUCUUUCACCACCAUUAGAGAGCAUCGCCGCCUACUGAGCAACCGCUUCGCCGCGAGCAUCAACUCUAGCCCAUCAUUUAUGUAUUGAGGAGCGAGCCCUUAUUUUAUAAAAGGGACUCCCUCACCUUCAACGCCACAAGCCGAGCCAACCAAGGAAACAUAAGCCACAAGCCGAGCAGCCUCGCAACAUGUGAUAGUUG
Molecule: long non-coding RNA, 58139 nt
Filed under: Malus domestica (apple)
Lineage: Eukaryota; Viridiplantae; Streptophyta; Magnoliopsida; Rosales; Rosaceae
Description: long non-coding RNA (MDOM_LNC000862)
Source: RNAcentral